This 56373-nucleotide long non-coding RNA is filed under the name Gossypium barbadense (sea-island cotton). RNAcentral describes it as "long non-coding RNA (GBAR_LNC016765)". The record is from RNAcentral. Lineage: Eukaryota; Viridiplantae; Streptophyta; Magnoliopsida; Malvales; Malvaceae.
UUUUUGGAUGGAAUCAACAUGACUUCUGUUAAUGCUCAUGUCUUCAUGAAUCUAUCCUCUUCUCUAAGGUCUCUCAGUCUUGCUUUUUGUGAUUUGCAAGGAAAAUUCCCAAAAAACAUUUUUGAUUUGCAAAACCUCAAUCUCCUCAACUUGAGAUACAACCAAUUGAGUGGACAAAUUCCAAGAUCAUUGGGGAACCUCUUGCAACUCACUCAUUUACACUUGUCGGGGAACCAAUUGAGUGGACAAAUUCCAUUGUCAAUUCUAAACCUAACGCAGUUGGAAUACUUGGAAAUAUCUGAAAAUUCUUUAGAAGGUUCCAUUCCAGAUGAGGUAACCGCUUUUCCUAAUCUAAUAUAUUUAUACUUAUCUGACAAUUUACUCAAUGGAACACUUCCGUCAUGGUUGUAUACUGCUCCCUGCUUAAAGGAAAUAUAUCUCUCUCAAAAUCAAUUCAGUGGGCAUAUCAAAGAAUUCCAAACCAAAUCACUAGAAUAUUUAUAUCUAGAAAAUAAUAAACUCCAAGGUCCCCUUCCAUCUUCAAUAUUCCAACUUCUCAAUCUUACCGGGCUCCUUUUAUCCUCAAAUAAUCUUAGUGGUGUCAUAGAGUUGAGCAUGUUCUCAAACCUUCCAAAUCUCAAAUAUCUUGACCUUUCAUAUAACAGCCUAUCCUUAAUAUCUAAUACUACUUCUACUGUUAAUCAUAUAUUGCCUAAUCUUACAGGCUUACAUUUGUCAUCUUGCAAUCUUAGUGAAUUCCCCCAGUUUUUAAAAGGGCUUAAAAGUUUGGAAAGCUUAGACCUCUCUUGCAACAAAAUUGAAGGCAAGAUUCCACAGUGGAUGCAAGAGGUGGGGAAUGUCUCUUUGACUUACUUCAACGUAUCUCACAACUCUUUGACAGAAGUUGAGCACUUUCCAUGGAAGAAUAUUGAAAGUCUUGACUUAAGCUCCAAUUUGAUCAGUGGAAAUCUUCCGAUUCCAGCUUCGACCAUCAAUGUCUUUCUGAUCUCAAAUAAUAGUUUCAAUGGAGAGGUCUCUUCUUUAAUCUGCAAUGCCAGUGAUCUUGAAAUUCUUGAUUUGUCCCACAAUAACUUGAGUGGAACAAUUCCGCAAUGUUUUGGAAAUUUGAGCAACAGCCUUGAAUUCUUGAAUCUGAAGAAGAACAAGUUCUAUGGGACGAUUCCUCCAAAAUUUGCAAAGGGAUGCCGAUUGACUAAUUUCAACUUAAAUGGAAAUCUGUUAGAAGGGCCAUUGACUCCAUCCAUCCUUAAUUGUAGGGGUCUGGAAGUGCUAGAUCUUGGUAACAACAAGAUCAAUGAUACAUUUCCUCAUUGGUUGGGAAGUCUUCCACAGCUACAAGUUCUUGUAUUGAAGUCAAAUCAUAUGCAUGGUUCCUUAUGUGUCAAUAGCUCCAAGUCUAGCCCUUUUUUCUCUAAAAUCCAAAUUUUUGAUCUCUCAAGUAAUUAUUUUUCUGGACCCCUACCAGUGAGAUACAUCAACAGCUUCAAGGCUAUCAUAAAUCUAGAGAAGAUUGGUAGUACAGUGUCGUACAUGGGGGUGAAUGAUGGCUUCUAUACCUAUUCCAUUGGAAUUGUUAUAAAAGGACAAUAUAUGGAAUUGGUGAAAAUUUUCACCAUGUGGAUGAUCAUUGAUCUAUCAAACAAUCAGUUUGAAGGGGGUAUUCCAGAGGUUUUUGGGAAGCUUAACUUACUGAAAGGGCUCAACCUUUCUCAUAAUAACCUUAAUGGUGGUAUCCCCACCUUAAUAGGGAAUUUGACAAGUCUUGAAUGGUUGGACCUAUCUUCAAACAGGUUGUCUGGGACGAUUCCAAAUAGAUUGGCAGAUCUGCCAUUUCUUUCGUCCUUCAAUGUUUCUGAAAAUCAACUCCAUGGUCAGAUUCCUCAAGGCAAACAGUUCAACACAUUUGGAAAUGAUUCAUAUGAAGGAAACAAGGCAUUAUGUGGAUUUCCGGUCUCAAAAGGUUGCAACAUCAUUGAGCCAGCACCUCCAAAUGUGCUUGAAAAAGAUGGCUCAAAAUCAAACAUUACUUUUGGUUGGAAAGUGGUGUUGAUAGGUUAUGGAUGCGGAGUGGUGUUCGGAAUGUCCGUGGGAUAUGUUGUUUUCCAAACUGGUAAGCCGAAAUGGUUGGUGAAUUUGGUUGAAAUCCAACAUGAGAAGAAGCGAAGAAGAAAGUCAAAGGAUGGCAGUCGCAGCAAUGGACGAAGAAGAAUCUAGUUAGUGGAAAUGAUGUUCAAGUGUUGAUGUUGUAUCUUCAUAAUUUCUUGUUUUGAAGUCUGUCAAAUUUUUUUCCUAUCGUGAAAGGCUGCAUUGCCAUGCAUCUGUCUUUUUUAUUGUAACCAUUCAUCUAUAUUUCAUUGCAUUACGUAGUAUUUGUAAGGGUUUGUUUUAAAUGUAACAUUUUGUAUGGUUCAACUAUUUAUGUCUCUUUCAUGAGUUUCAUUUUUGAGUCUCAAUAAUCUCUGCAUUCAAGAUUUUGUCAGCUUAUUAAUUGGUGGAUCAAUAAUCUUCAUGCUCAUCUCAUCAUCUUUUUCUCGAGUUAAACACAGUCACUACUAUAAUAAUUUCUUCUGUGUGGAAAAUAAUUUGGCAUUCUGCAAAUUUCCACAAUGCUUGUGGAUUACCUCUGGUUGACGGCUAUACAUAUAAAGGAAGGAAACAAGACUAUGUCAAAAUUUCCAAAAAUCAGUCAUUCAUUUUUGAACAAUUAAACAUUCGUAUUCUAUUUUUCAAAAUUGUAAAUCCUCAAAUAAUGUAAAUUAGUCCUAAAACUCAAGUUUUGAAAUCUUUACAAUUUAACCCCUUAUAGUUUCAAACUUUACUAUUUUAUGCUCAACUUUCUAAAUCUUCAUAUUUCAUGAUCAUAUAAUUUAGUUAUUACAUCAAUAUUUCAGAUUUCACUACUCAAACCCUUACUUCAUUUUGGUCCUUACUUCAAUUUUAUCAAAUUAAAUCAUUUUUCAAUUUGAAUGCAUUGAUGUGAAAUUAAGGGACCACUAAACAAUGUUGAUGCGAGUUUAGGCAAAAUUGGUGGAUCCCAUCUCCACAGCAAUUUCUUUAUGGAAGUACUUGCUUUCACACUGCAAACUUGGAUAGUUUGUGGUGGACGAUGAUGAAUCAUUUCACAAUCAAACACACCAUUUUUAAACACAUAUAUUGAAAUCAUUAUUAAAAUUAUAAUCAAAAUUAAUACAAGUUCUUUUUAUUAGCUUAAGGGCGUAAAAACUCUUCAAAAUUUUCCAAAUAAAAAAUAAAAAAUUUAAGUCCCUCUUUUUUUUUUACACUCAAUUGAGUACUUAAACUUUUAAAAUGUAUCAAAAAUAUCUUAACACUUCUUCAAAAAAAGCAAUUAAACCCCCUUUUUUUUCCGCUCAAUUGGGUACUUGAAUUUUCAUAAUGCAUCAAAAAUACCUUAAUUUUUUUUUCAAAGAAACAAUUAAGCCUCUAUUUUUUUCCUACUCAACUAGGUACUUGAACUGUCAAAAAAACAAUUAAGCACCUACUCUUAUUAAAAAUUAGAAAAAAAAUCAUAAAAAUAAGAAAAAUUUAGAAAAAAUUAUUAAAUUUUAAUAAAAAUUUAAAAACUUAUUAAAAAUUAGAAAAAAUUUUAGAAAAAUUGUCAAAAAAUAAAAAAUUAUAAAAUUUUAUAAUUAAGCACUCUUAAAAUUUUGAAAAUUCUCAUUAAUCUCACACAAAUUUAAAAUUUUUUAUUAGACCCCCAAUUUUUUUUAAAAAUGUUAUUAAACCCUUAAAUUUUUAGAAAAUUUUACCUGCCCCCUCCCAAAAAAAAAACUAGUCCCAACUCUUAGGAUCCGCCAUUGGUACUUGGUAUUAACACUAUUAGAAAAUUGCUAAAUCAACCAAUGAAAAUUUGACACAUGGAACCCUUUUUUUAAAUUAUCAAGUUACGGAUGUUCUUCAAGGGCAUGGAACUCAACUUGAAAAUUUUACUAAUUUGGUUGCAAAAAACAUUGAGGAAGCAUAUAAUGAUCUAACCCUUUUUUGUUUUGUUCUGUUUUUAAUUUGUUAUGGGAUUCUAUUGAAUGAUAAUUUUUUUUAUUUCCCAUACUUGGUUCUUCAACAACAACAUAUUCGAGAUUUUAUUUUUCUAGAAUUUUUAUAUAAAAGUUUGUAUUUUUUAAAAUAAUUUUGAGUUUUUUAUAAUUUUUAUAUAGAAUCGAGGUAAAUUGGCAAAAAAUUAUAAAAAACAAAAUACUAAAAUUGUUUAGUUAAGUGACCAAAGCGAAGAUCUACCCAUAGUUCAGUGGCUAAUUAUGUAGUUUACCCUUUCAUAAUUAAAAAAAUAGUUGUUCAGUUUUUCUUGUAUUAGAUAACAUUUUAGAUGGUAAAAACCCUCUUUAGUCCCUCUCAAUUUUGAUAUUAAGUAAAUUGGUCCAUUUUUUUUUAAAAAAAUCAAAGCAAUUUAAUCUUUGUUAAUUUCGAAAGUGAGCAACUAAGGACAAUUAAUCACAAUGUCAAUAUUUUCCAUCAAUUGUACAUAUUUUUAUUGGUAUAAUAACAAAUUUAGCUCUCCAAGUUUACACAUUCUAUCAAUUUGUUUUGAUUUAACAAAUUUAGCCCGCAACAGUUACAUAUUCUAUUAACAUUUACACAUAAUAUAUAAACAUCGAGAGCUUAAUUUGUUAUUAUAUAAAUAAAAUUAUGUACAAUUUACAGAAAGCAUUAACACAAUAAUUAAUUGUCCUUAGUUGCUCCAUUUCAAAAUUGAUAAUGAUUAAAUUGCUCUAAUUUUCUGAGAGAAACCAAUUUCUUCAAUAUAGAAAUUGAGAGGGACGAGAAAUGUGUUUUUAUCCAUUUUAGAUACUAACAAGUGUUUGGCGUAGUGGCAAGGCAUAUUACAUUCUCAAGGAGAGAAUGCGUAUUCAAACGUUGGAGAUAAUAAUAUUGUGUGGGGUAUCCACGGAUCUCGAACACAGACUGUAAAACAUAUAUAAAAAAUAAAAAGAAUAACAUCUUAAUUUAAAUAAUUAAUAAAUUUUAAUUUCAAAAAAGUAUUUUGAGAAACAUAGGUUUUAGUAAAUAGUAAAAUUGAAUCGAUAAAACAUGUCCAGUAUAUCAGAAUCAUAAAAAUACAACUUAAUUAAUUUGAAUUUAAACUUAACUCGACUCAAUUUGAUUAUAAAAAACUGAUAAUUUGAAUCCAAAAUGACAUGAUCUUGAAAUGAUUUGAAUUAAUUGUCAAACCCAAACGACAAAACUCGAAAUGAUGCAAUCCAAAAACACAAGUCAAAUGAACUAAACUAUGAAAGAAAAAAAAAACCUUACACCGACUCAAAUCCAAAAUAAUUUAAUCCUAAAAUAACCCAAAUUUUAUAUAAUAUAAACUCGAAAUAACCCGAUAAUUUUUUUCAGUCUUACUGUGUUUAUCUUUAUAAGUAUUCUUGUUUUCCUUGCCCAUACAUGUAUUGUAGUUAUCAAAAAAUAUAUUCUACUUUGGAUUUUAUUUAUAUUAAAUUUUAGGUUAAAUUCCGCUAUUACUCUCUGUACUUUAUGAAAAUGAUGGAUUUAAUCAUUGUACGUUAAUUUAAUCAAUUUUAGUCUUUGUAUUUUUUGAAUUGGUCAAUUUUAAACCAUUUACUUUUUGAAUUUUGAAAUUUUAGUCUUGAUUCAAAUAAUAUUAAUAAUAAUAAAAUCUGCUUAUUUAAAUUUAAUUAUUAGUUUUGUACUAUGUAGACAAUUAUAGAUUUAAUCCAUAUUUUUCAAUUGGGUCAUUCCAAGUCUUUAUACUUUUCAAAUUUUAAAAUUUCAAUAUUGAUGCAGAAUGCGAGUUGCUAUUAAUUAAUUGAUUUUUUUAGCCAAUGCAUGUAGAAAUAAUAAGUUGUUAUGUCAUUAUACUUAAAAUAAUAUAUUGGUUUAACCCGCUUAAAUUAUGUCUUUUUUUCCAUCUUGGGACCUAAAUUUUUUUGGGGUCAUAAGUGGUACCUAAACUACUUUUUUUUCUCCUUCAAAUUAGGGCUCCUUUGGAUCACCAGCAAGUUUCAGUGUGGUGAGAUUUAAAGAGUAAAAAAAAUUUGAACUGAAACGCAGCUCUAUUUGGGGUGUUUGGCAAGCACACCAGUAAGCAUUUUUCACCUCACUGUAACCCAAAAUAUUGGCUGGAGUUAAAAGCUUCAGUGGACUGAUUUGGAAGUCCAAAAAUAAGAGUAAUUAUUAUUUUACCCCUCCAAUUCUUCCUUUAUUAUUUAUUUUAUUUAAAACAGAUAACAUAAGUUUAAUAUGUCAUUAUUUAAUAUUAUUUAAUUUACAAUAAAAUUAUAAUUUUUAUUUAUAAAUUUAGUAUAAAUACAAUUUAAUUUAUAUUUUAUUAUUUGAUUCAAAUAUAAUCUGUAAAAAUAUUUUGAUAUUUUAUUAUGAAUAUAAUUUAAAAAUAUUUUAUUGUAUAUUUAAAAUAUUUUGAUAUUUUAUUAUGAAUAUAAUCUGUAAAAUAUUUUGAUAUUUUUGAAUUUUUCUCUAGUUUUAAUUUAUUUUUAAUUAUUUAUUAUUAAAAAUAAAUAUAAUUGUAAUAAUUUUUAAUUAUUUAUUAAUUUUGUAAUUGUUAAAUAAUUUUAAAAACUUCUAUUAUAUAUAUUUUUAAUCUAAUGUCCUUAAAAGUCAUUUUCUAUUUUCACCUCACCGCUACAACUGCGUUUGAAUCCAAACACACACUCCACCGCUGUUUCUAAUCUCACCGCUACAGUAUCCAAUCUCACCGCUACAGUACCUAAUCUCACCGCCACCGCUGUUUUUAACCUUACCGGAACUAAACACACCGCCCAUCCAAACCCACCCUUAGUAUAUUCAUUAGUUAAACUGUUAAGUCUAUUUAAAAAAGAAAGACUCGGACAACAAAUUAAUACUUAAACAAUGCUCUUUUUCCCAAGGUACCUAAUUUUUAUUUUGGCCAUGAGUAUUACUAAAACUAUUAUUCCAUUACUCAUUUUACACCAAAAUGUUAUAUCGGCUGAAAAGAUUCCAACAAAUAAUAGAUUGUAUGUCAUAUAAACUUUUAAAAAUAAUUAUUAAUUAAUUUUUUUCAUAUAAACUGAACGGUUUGACUAAUGACGGAGGUACCAAAUUAUAGUCUAGGUACCAAUUUAUGGGUUAAGCCUAUUUCUAAAAUAGACUUUUGACUAAUGGCGGUAGUAACUUGGGAAAAAAAAGUAGUUUAUGUACCACUUGUGAACAAAAAUAAGUUUAGGUACCAACAUCGUAAAAUGAGUAUAAUUUAGAUACCGAUUUAUGAGUUAAGCCUAAUAUAUUUGUUGCAUCAUUUUUUUGAAAAUAACAGAACUUAAUAAAUUUAACGGUUAUUUUUUGGUGAUGACUAAAAUUUUAAAAUUUGAAAAGUACAUGAACUAAAAAUGACCAAAUUAAAGUAUAAAGAUUAAGUCCACAACUUUUACAAAGUACAAGGAGUAAUAGCAGAAAUUAACCUAAAUUUCAUAUGGGUCACUUACAAAAAUAAUCACUAAACUAUUCCUUUGGUUCUAUUCUAGUCACUCAACUAUAAAGGUGCUCAUGAGCCGGGCCAGGUCAGGCCUAAGCAUGAUAUUAACGUACCUUAUGCUUGCUCAAGCUUGGCUCGGCCCGAAAUAUGAGCUUAAAAUUUCGCCUAAACUCAUCCAUAUUUGCAAAAGACUAACCUAAGCUCAUUUUAGGCAUGCCCAUAUAAUUUUUAGUUUUUUUUUAAUAUUUAUAUUAUAUUAUAUUAAUAAUUAAUAAUUUAAACUUUUUUUAUUUAUUGAAACUUUUUAUAUAGUCAUUUUAACAUUAUUUUAAUGUUUACAUUAUAGUAUUAUUAUAUAUUUAGUAUAAGUUUAUUUUGUUAAUCUAUUCUAAACUAUAUAAUAUAAAGUAUCAUACACUUAAAAAUAGGCCGAGCUGGGCUUGAGCUUUGAAUGUUCAAGCCUGAACUCAGCCCAAAUUUUAAACGGGCCUAAUUUUUUUACCCAAACCCAAUUUUUGGGCCUAAUAUUUUUAUCCAGACCCUCCCAAAUUUUGGGCAGCCCUUGGGCCUUGGCAAGUAGCCCAACUCAUUAACAAGUUUACUCAACUAUUAAUUUUUUCGAUUUAGUUGUUAACCUUUUCGAAAGUAAAUAUUUUAGUCACUCUCCUGUUAGGUGUUGUUAAAUGAGUGAUGGAAAGCUAAUGUGGGCUUUUUUUAUUAGUCUAAAAACAAAUUUUGCCCUCUAAUGUUUACACUUCUAUCAAUUUGAUCCUAGAUAUAAAAAAAAAUCAAAAAAUUUAGCCCUGAAUAUUAUCAAAAAUUAGCGAUUUAGUUCUAAUUCUAAAAAUUUUAAUAUAUACAUAUAUUUAAAAAAAUAUUUUUAAUCCUCUGUCUCACCCUUUGAUUUUUUUAGAGAUAUUCAAAAAUUAAAAUAUAUCAUUAUGUCUUUUCGUUUUAAUGCUAAAAGAGAUAAAAAAAAUAGAAAGCUAAAAUGACUUUUCAUUUGUAAAGUUAAAAAAUACUAAAUAAAUCAUUAUAUCUUUUUAGUUUUAAUUUUUUACUUGAUUAAAAGAGAAAUAAUUAACGAAUGAAAAAUAAUUAUUCCCAAAUAAAUUUAUAAGAAAUGAGAUUUUGCUAAAAGAAAAAGCAUGUAAAAGUAUACACGUUCUUAUGAAAUACAAAGAUUUUGCUAAAAGAAAAAGUAUCCAAUUUUAAGAAUGAAAAAUAUAUGGUAAAAGGAAGACUAAGUGGUUGUUGAAAAAUACAAAAAUUUUGAAAAUCUAAUAUCCAUAACUUUUCAAUGUAAAAGAAAAAAAUGACUGUAACACCAAUGUUGUGGUAUUAUUUGUUGCCUAUAAGUACCAUUCCUAUCCUUCAUCUUCCUCUACCAACAUAACAUGGCCUCCUAUCUCUUUCUGUCCCUGUUCCUCUUCUUUCCCCAUCUUUAUGCUUCUUUUUCUUCUUCAGGAUCUCACUCCUGCUCUUCACUAAUCCAGUUCAAGAACUCUUUUUCCAUCACAGAGUAUGCUUCUUAUCAUUGCAAUGAGAUUGCUGGCCUUCAAUCUUAUCCCAAGACAAAUUCAUGGAAGGAGGGUACAGAUUGCUGCUCAUGGGAUGGGGUCACUUGUGACCACCUAAAUGCUCAUGUUAUUGCCCUUGACUUGAGCUGCAGUUGGCUAUAUGGCAACUUCCCUUCCAAUUCCACUCUCUUCCUUCUUCCUCACCUUCAAAAACUCAACCUUGCCUACAAUCAUUUUAAUCGUUCCAAAAUGCCAUCCGAGUUCGGUCGGUUUACAAGCCUACUCUACCUCGACCUUUCCAGUACAGGGUUUGCAGGAGAAGUCCCAUCCCAAGUCUCCCACUUGUCAAAAUUGGUUUCACUUAAUCUUUCUUGGAUUGGACAACAAUUAACAAUUGACAAACAUGCUCUGGAGGGACUUGUUCACAACCUAACCGAGGUCAGGUAUCUGUUUUUGGAUGGAAUCAACAUGGCUUCUGUUAAUGCUCAAGUCUUUAUGAAUCUAUCCUCUUCUCUAAGGUCUCUCAGUCUUUCUGGUUGUGAUUUGCAAGGAAAAUUCCCAAAAAACAUUUUUGAUUUGCCAAACCUCAAUCUCCUCAACUUUGGAGACAACCAAUUGAGUGGACAAAUUCCAAGAUUAUUGGGGAACCUCUUGCAACUCACUUCUUUAGACUUGUCGUUGAACCAAUUGAGUGGACAAAUUCCAUUGUCAAUUCUAAACCUAACGCAGCUGGAAUUUUUGGCAAUAUCUGAAAAUUUAUUAGAAGGUUCCAUUCCAGAUGAAGUAACCGCUUUUCCUAACCUAAAAUUUUUAUACUUAGAUAACAAUUUACUCAGUGGAACACUUCCGUCAUGGUUGUAUACUGCUCCCUCAUUAGACAGUAUAGGUCUCUCUCAAAAUCAAUUCAGUGGGCAUAUCAAAGAAUUCCAAUCCAAAUCACUAGAAUGGAUAGCGUUAGAGAAUAAUAAACUCCAAGGUCCUCUUCCAUCUUCAAUAUUCCAACUUCUCAAUCUUACCCGCCUCUUUUUAUCCUCAAAUAAUCUUAGUGGUGUCAUAGAGUUUCGCAUGUUCUCAAACCUUCCAAAUCUCGACCUUCUUGACCUUUCAUAUAACAGCCUAUCCUUAACAUCUAAUACUACUUCUACUGUUAAUCAUAUAUUGCCUAAUCUUACAAUGUUAUUUUUGUCAUCUUGCAAUCUUAGUGAAUUCCCCCAAUUUUUGAAAGGGCUUAAAAGGUUGGAAAUGUUAGACCUCUCUUGCAACAAACUUCAAGGCAAGAUUCCACAGUGGAUGCAAGAGGUGGGGAAUGUCUCUUUGACUUUCUUAAACGUAUCUCACAACUCUUUGACAGAAGUUGAGCACUUUCCGUGGAAUAAUAUUGCAGUUCUGGACUUAAGCUCCAAUUUGAUCCGUGGAAAUCUUCCGAUUCCAGCUUCGAAGAUCAAUGUCUUUCUGAUCUCAAAUAAUAGUUUCAAUGGAGAGGUCUCUUCUUUAAUCUGCAAUGCCAGUGAUCUUGAAAUUCUUGAUUUGUCCCACAAUAACUUGAGUGGAACAAUUCCGCAAUGUUUUGGAAAUUUGAGCAACAGCCUUGAAUUCUUGAAUCUGAAGAAGAACAAGUUCUAUGGGACGAUUCCUCCAACAUUUGCAGAGGGAUGCCAAUUGAGUAAUUUCAACUUAAAUGGAAAUCUGUUAGAAGGGCCUUUGACACCAUCCAUCCUUAAUUGUAAUGAUCUGGAAGUGCUAGAUCUUGGUAACAACAAGAUCAAUGAUACAUUUCCUCAUUGGUUGGGAAGUCUUCCACAGCUACAAGUUCUUGUAUUGAAGUCAAAUCAUAUGCAUGGUUCCUUGCGUGUCAAUAGCUCCAAGUCUAGCCCUUUUUUCUCUAAAAUCCAAAUUUUUGAUCUCUCAAGUAAUUAUUUUUCUGGACCCCUACCAGUGAGAUACAUCAACAGCUUCAAGGCUAUCAUAAAUCUAGAGAAGAUUGGUAGUACAGUGUCGUACAUGGGGGUGAAUGAUGGCUUCUAUACCUAUUCCAUUGGAAUUGUUAUAAAAGGACAAUAUAUGGAAUUGGUGAAAAUUUUCACCGUGUGGAUGAUCAUUGAUCUAUCAAACAAUCAGUUUGAAGGGGGUAUUCCAGAGGUUUUUGGGAAGCUUAACUUACUGAAAGGGCUCAACCUUUCUCAUAAUAACCUUAAUGGUGGUAUCCCUACCUCAAUAGGGAAUUUGACAAGUCUUGAAUGGUUGGACCUAUCUUCAAACAGGUUGUCUGGGACGAUUCCAAAUAGAUUGGCAGAUCUGCCAUUUCUUUCGUCCUUCAAUGUUUCUGAAAAUCAACUCCAUGGUCAGAUUCCUCAAGGCAAACAGUUCAACACAUUUGGAAAUGAUUCAUAUGAAGGAAACAAAGGAUUAUGUGGAUUUACGGUCUCGAAAGGUUGAAACAUCAUUGAGCCAGCACCUCCAAAUGUGCUUGAAAAAGAUGGCUCAAAAUCAAACAUUACUUUUGGUUGGAAAGUGGUGUUGAUAGGUUAUGGAUGCGGAGUGGUGUUCGGAAUGUCCGUGGGAUAUGUUGUUUUCCAAACUGGUAAGCCGAAAUGGUUGGUGAAUUUGGUUGAAAUCCAACAUGAGAAGAAGCGAAGAAGAAAGUCAAAGGAUGGCAGUCGCAGAAAUGGACGAAGAAGGAUCUAGUUAGUGGAAAUGAUGUUCAAGUGUUGAUGUUGUAUCUUCAUAAUUUCUUGUUUUGAAGUCUUUCAAUUUUUUUCCUAUGGUGAAAGGUUGCAUUGGCAUGCAUCUGUCUUUGUUAUUGUGACAAUUCAUCUAUAUUUCAUUGCAUUACGUGGUAUUUGUAAGGGUUUGUUUUAAAUGUAACAUUUUGUAUGGUUCAACUAUUUAUGUCUUCUUUCAUGACUUUUAUUUUUGAGUCUCAAUAAUCUCUGCAUUCAAGAUUUUGUCAGCUUAUUAAUUGGUGGAUCAAUAAUCUUCAUGCUCAUCUCAUCAUCUUUUUCUCGAGUUAAACACAGCCAAUACUAUAACAAUUUCUUCUGUGUGGAAAAUAAUUUGGCAUUCUGCAAAUUUCCACAAUGCUUGUGGAUUGCCUUUGGUUGACAGCUAUACAUAUAAAGGAAGGAAACAAGACCAUGUCAAAAUUUCCAAAAAUUAGUCAUUCAUUUUUUAAAAUUGUAAAUUCUCAAGUAAUGUAAAUUAGUCCUAAAACUCAAGUUUUGAAAUCUUUACAAUUUAACCCCUUACUAUUUUAUGCUCAACUUUCUAAAUCUUCAUAUUUCAUGAUCAUAUAAUUUAGUUACUACAUCAAUAUUUGAGAUUUCACUACUCAAACCCUUACUUCAUUUUGGUCCUUACUUCAAUUUUAUCAAAUUAAAUCAUUUUUCAAUUUGAAUGCAUUGAUGUGAAAUUGAGGGAGCACUAAACAAUGUUGAUGCGAGUUUAGGCAAAAUUGGUGGAUCCCAUCUCCUUAGUAAUUUCUUUAUGGAAGUAGCUGCUUUCACACUGCAAACUUGGAUAAUUUGUGGUGGACGAUGAUGAAUGAUUUGACAAUCAAACACAUAAUUUUUAAACACAAAAUUAACGAUAUAUUGAAAUCAUUAUUGAAAUUAUAAUCAAAAUUAAUACAUGUUUUUUUUAUUUGCUUAAGGUGUAAAAACCCUUCAAAAUUUUCAAAAAUAAAAAUAAAAAUUUAAGUCCCUCUUUUUUUUUUUAACACUCAAUUGAGCACUUAAACUUUUAAAAUGUGUCAAAAAUAUCUUUACACUUCUUCAAAAAAAGCGAUUAAACUCUUUUUUUUUUCGCUCAAUUGGGUGCUUGAACUUUCAUAAUGCAUCAAAAAGACCUUUUUUUUUCAAAGAAACAAUUAAGCCUCUAUUUUUUUCCCACUCAAUUGGGUACUUGAACUUUCAUAAUGCAUCAAAAAGCAAUUAAGGCCUUUUUCAUGCAUUAUGAAAGUUCAAGUACCGAAUUGAGUGCAAGAAAAAAAAAGUAGGGGCUUAAUUGCUUUUUUUGAAAAUGUUUGAGGGCCUUUUUGAUGUAUUUUGAAAGUUCAAGUACCCAAAUGAGUGCAUAAAAAGAACAGGGGUUCAAUUGCCAUUUUUGAAAAAGUUUGAGGGCUUUUUGCACCCUUAAACCUCUUUUCUUUUUCUAAAUUUAAUUUAGAACCAACUUUGAGUAAAGACUUGGGAAAUUUAAUUACCAAAAUUUCUUUCCAUGCAAAAAUUUCCCCUAUUUCUUGUUUGAAUUUAAAGCAAUACAAUAUUUUUCUAGCUAGUAAUAGAAAAUGACAGUCAAUUCAUUCCAAGCAAUGCAAAAUUUCCAGUCUGGUGGAAAAUUUGUUUCUUAGAUACUAUUAUUCAACUUUUAAGGCAUAAGUUUGAAUAUAGGGACUACAUUUUUAAAGUGUUGUUUACUACACACUUAGGGACCAUAUAUGUGUAUAUAUAUAUAUAUAUAUUCCAGUCUGGGUCUUUGUCGUGUUUUGUUGGUUGGCUAUGGCCUUGUUGCUGUUUCCACUGUCUGUGGUCUUUGUUUCUAAGUCAUAUGUGGCCUUGUUUGCUACAACUUAGUUGCUAAGUUAAAGGGAGUUAAUAGAGCACCAUUUUCUUCUUUUGCGUGGAAAAUAAGUUGGCGUUAUGCCAAUUUCCACAUUCAUACAUAUAAUGGAAGCAAGAGCAAGUCAAUAUACUUUGUAAUCUCAUCACUUCUUCUUCUUUCUUUGGGGAGUUCAAAUGAAAUACAAAUUUUGAGUAAAUCAACUAUUCAUUGACGGUACAAACGAGUUAAAAUUUCCAGCAUUCAUGUCUUUGUUUUCCCUCAAGUAAACGUAGUCAAUACUGCAAAUGGUGUGGAAGUAUUGUACAUUGUGGCCCAAAUGUCCAAAAUUUCCCCAUUGCUUGUAAAUGAAAUUUGGGUGAGAGAGAUGGGAGGAAGCAACAGCAAGUGUGAAGUCAAUAGACAAUUGACAGUCUUUAUUCUUUUGUGUGGAAAAUUAUUUGGGACCAAACUUGACUUGUUAUAAGGAAGAAGACUUUGUAAUCUCAUAAAUGUUAAUUAUUUUACUUCUUUGGUAAAAAAAAAAGUAAUCAAUUUUAUGAAUGAAAAAUAUAUGGUAAAGAGGAAGUAGUUGUUGAUCACUAAUAACAUGAUGAUUGUGGAAAUACAAAAAUUCCCGUAUAUGUGUUGAAUUCUGCAUAAUGUAAAUGUCCCGCAUUGCAUGUGAAUUCUGCAAUAAACUAAACUUUACGUGUUAUAGUUCUUUAAACCGAGUUAAUGAAAAGUAACCAUUCUUAUCAAAAUUAGUUAUACUCCUAAUUUAUAACAAAGGAAAUAAUAAUUUGAGUUUAACUCAAAGGUUAAUAUGUCAUCAAUGGGCGAUGGCGUGGUGCUACCAUGUCAGCGAUUAUUUUCUUCUUUGAGUUAAGGUGAUUUCACCAAUUUUAGGUUACUUUUUUACUUCAAUUUAGGUUUAUGCUUAUUAGCUUCGAAGAUUCUAAGUGGGUGCCACAAUCAAAGGGUGAGUAAAAAGGGUUAAAAAUGAUUUUUUUUAAAAAAUAUUUUUAUUUUUUUAUUAAAAAUUUAGAAUUAGAAUUAGACAAAUUUUGUAAAUGUUAAGGCUAACUUUAUUGAAUUUUUUUUUUCAGAAUUUGAACUAAAAUGACAAAUUUUGUAAAAAGCACUAAAUUUGUUGAAUUUUUUACAUUUAGGAUCAAAUUGAUAGAAUGUGUAAAUAUUAGAGGUUAAAUUUGUUAUUAGAUGAAUAAAAAAAACCCACAUCAACUUUCCAUCACUCAUCUAACGACAACUAAAGGGAGAGUGAUUAAAAUAUUUAAUUUCAAAAAGUUUAGCAACUAAAUUGGAAAAUUUAAUAGUUGGGUGACUAUUUUUAUAGUUUACAAUUUUUUUGGUCACCUGACUAUUAAGUGACACGUUUUAGUUGGUAUAAUAAUAAUUUUAGUCCUCAAUUUUUAUACUUUCUGUCAAUUUAACUCUAAUUAUAUAAAAUGAUUACAAAAGUGAAAUUCUUUUUAAAUUUUACAAAAUUCUAAAAAUUAAAUGAAAGUAGAUAAAAAUUUCAAAUAUAAAUAAAGUGAGAGAAAAUGAGGAAAAUAUUAUUUUUAAACCCUCCAAAUUUUAUUUGUAUUAUCUGUAAAGCAAUAUCUAAUAUCCAUUCUUUUAGAAAACAUAGAAAAAGGUAAAAAAAAGCUUAAGUAAAAUUAUCUGUAUAUAAUCUGCUUUUAUAAUUUGGGUUUUUAAAAAUAAAUUUAAAUGAAUUGAAAAUUUGAAUUGAGUUUGAAAAAGAAAAUUUUGUGGUAUAUUUUAUAUUUUUGCUAGAAAAAUAGCAUCAAAGUCGAUUUCGUAAGCUUUUGUAAUAUCAGUUACGGAUGUUCUUCAAGGGCAUAGAACUCAACUUGAAAAUUUUACUAAUUUGGUUACAAAAAAACAUUGAGGAAGCAUAUAAUGAUCUAACUUUUUUUUUCUGUUUUUAAUUUGUUAUGGGAUUCUAUUGAAUGAUAAUUUUUUUUAUUUCCCGUAUUUAGUUCUUCAACAACAACAUAUUCGAGAUUUUAUUUUUCUAGAAUUUUUACAUAAAAGUAAAGUUUGUAUUUUUUAAAAUAAUUUUGAGUUUUUUAUAAUUUUUAUAUAGAAUCGAGGUAAAUUGGCAAAAAAAUUAUAAAAACAAAAUACUAAAAUUGUUUAGUUAAGUGACCAAAACGAAAAUCUACCCAUAGUUCAGUGACUAAUUAUGUAGUUUACCCUUCAUAAUUAAAAAAAUAGCUGUUAAGUUUUUCUUGUAUUAGAUAACAUUUUAGAUGGUAAAAACCCUCUUUAGUCCCUCUCAAUUUUGAUAUUAAGUAAAUUGAUCCAUUUUAAAAAAAAAAUCAAAGCAAUUUAAUCUUUGUUAAUUUCGAAAGUGAACAACUAAAGAUAAUUAAUCACAAUGUCAAUAUUUUCCAUCAAUUGUACAUAUUUUUAUUGGUAUAAUAACAAAUUUAGCUCUCGAAGUUUACACAUUCUGUCAAUUUGGUCUUGAUUUAACAAAUUUAGCCCGCAACAAUUACAUAUUCUAUUAACAUUUACACAUAAUAUAUAAACAUCGAGAGCUUAAUUUGUUAUUAUAUCUGUAAUACCCAAAUUUUGCCCGGCCCAAGCCCAAGUAUCAAAACCCAAAUAAAAAAUAUACAUAAUAAAAGUCCAAUAACAUCAGUCCAGAUUACAAACCAAAUAAAUUAAGCCCAAACUCGAUUACAAAGUCCAAAUUCCCAAGCACAAACUGUUAACCCAACACUCCAGCCCCAAAUUAUUAGCCCAAAAUCAAACCCACUAAGCCUAAUCAGCCAACCCUAACCCGAACGGCCUACAUACCUAGCCCUAAAACAUUUUCAAAAAAACCUAAAGCAACUAUUUGCCUCAGCCGCCGCAACAGUAGCCUCCCACACGCGCGCCUCUCAUUAUCUUGAAGUAUCUUUUUGAAAUUGAUUAUUAAUUUAUGGGGUGCUUAAUUAUUGAUAUUAGUAUUUGUAUGAUAUGACUAAAAUAAUUAUUGUUAUUUGCAUUUACCUAUUAUUUGUUUGUCUUCUUAAUGUAUGUUUGGGUUGUUAUUUAUCCUUUUCGUUAUGUAUUGCUAUUCAAUCAUGUUUCAUUUGUAAGAAUUGUAUUUUUAAAGCACAACAGAUCAUUCUAUUUCAUAAUUUUCAAAAAGGCCUGAUGUUCAUAGCUCUCGAGAGAAUUGUGCCCUAACUUACUGGGCUUCAAUUCUUCUCGAUGAAUUUGAAUAGCCAAGUGUUUAUUGUAUUAAAACCACACAACUUUUAAAAUAAAGUUUUCAAGAUUUUAAAUUGUUGGAUCCUAACUUACUGGAUGUGGCAUUUUGUUAUCCCAAUUUUAAAAUAAAGGCAAUGUUUGACGUUUAAGAACUUCGAGAAAUCGAAACCUAACUUACUGGAUUCUGAUUUCUCAUUUGACUUAAAUGACCGAAUAGCCUUCUCAAAAUGCAUGAAUUUUAAAAUUUGAAAAUUAAAAAGACAUACUUAAUUUUGACGAUUGAAUCGUUGCACUCUAACUUACUGAGUGUGGCAAUUUAUUUCUUUGAAAUGAGUGUGUUUUAUUAUUCAAAUUUAAACUUUAAAAGGAUCGUAUUUUUCGACACUAAGACAUUAAACAAUCGAUUCGGUACCAAUUUUGGGCGUUACGAGGGUACUAACCCUUCCUCGUGCGUAACCGACUCCCGAACCUAUUUUCUCAAAAUUCGUAGACCUAAAAUUAUUUUCAAGGUGAUCCGGUCACACCUCAACAAAAGAUCGGUGGCGACUCCCAUUUUCAUUUUCAAAGUCGAUUCCCAUUUUUAAAACAUAAAAAAUGGUUUCGGCAAUAUCAAUAAAAAUUAUGUACAAUUUACAGAAAGCAUUAACACAAUGAUUAAUUGUCCUUAGUUGCUCCCUUUCAAAAUUAAUAAUGAUUAAAUUGCUCUAAUUUUCUGAGAGGAACCAAUUUGUUCAAUAUAGAAAUUGAGAGGGACGAGAAAUGUGUUUUUAUCCAUUUUAGAUACCAACAAGUGUUUGGCGUAGUGGCAAGGCAUAUUACAUUCUCAAGGAGAGAAUGCGUAUUCAAACGUUGGAGAUAACAAUGUUGUGUGGGGUAUCCACGGAUUUGAACACGGACUAUAAAACAUAUAUAAAGAAUAAAAAGAAUAACAUCUUAAUUUAAAUAAUUAAUAAAUUUUAAUUUGAAAAAAGUAUUUUGAGAAACAUAAGUUUUAGUAAGUAGUAAAAUUGAAUCGAUAAAACAUGUCCAUUAUAUCAGAAUCAUAAAAAUACAACUUAAUUAAUUUGAAUUUAAACUUAACUCAACUCGAUUUUGAUUAUAAAGAACUGAUAAUUUGAAUCCAAAAUGACAUGAUCUUGAAAUGAUUUGAAUUAAUUGUCAAACCUGAACGACAAGACUCGAAAUGAUGCAAUCCAAAAACACAAAUAAAAUGAACUAAACUAUGAAAGAAAAAAAAAACCUUACACCGACUCAAAUCCAAAAUAAUUUAAUCAUAAAAUAACCCAAAUUUUAUAUAAUAUAAACUCGAAAUAACCCAAAAAUUUUUAAAUUAAAAUUGACCCGACCCAAAUUCACACCACCUAAAAUCAAUCGUAACCACCUAAUUAAAAAGCAUGAAAUGAAAUGAUGUAAAGAGAAAAUUAGAGAAAACCAAAUAGAAAGUAACAAGCUUUUUUCAGAAUUGAAAGCAAAUUCCGUACAUUCACGACAUGCAUAAAACAACAAUGGUUUAUAGAAUUUGAGUUUUAGUCCCUGUACUUUAAAAGUUAAUUUUUCUUAAUUUAAAAAUUUUAGUUUAAUCAUUCAUGUUGGUUGUAGUUUCCAUUAGCUUAAUCAACAUGUUAAAUUAUUAAAUUUUGAUAUAAAAUAUUUACGAGUUUAAUAAUUAUACUGAGAUUUUUAAAUAAAAAAGUUGGAAGACUUAAUUUCUAACAUUUUAAAUAUAGGGACUAAAAGCAUCUUUUAACUUUGAUAUUAUUAUUAUAAGCAGGGAUAAUGUCAUCUUUGGCAUCUGUACUUUUAUAAAAUGUCUAGUGGUACAAGUACUUUGAAAAUAUAUAAUGUGGUACCUGAACUAUCAAUAUGUGUUAUUAUUAUGGUACAUGUACUUUGAAAAUGUUUAAUGUGGUACCUAAACUAUCAAUAUAUAUUUUAUUAUGAUACUUGAUAAAGAUGGACUAUUAUUGGUAGCUUAAGGGGCUCUUUGUCCCGCCAUCCCUGCAAAAAAAAAAUUGGAGAAUUUUGUUUUUUCCUUUAAAAUUUUUAGAAAAUUUCAAUUAAGCCCUCAAAAUUUUUGAAAAUUUUCAUUAUACCUUUUAAUUUUUUAAAAAAUUUUAAUUAAGCACUCUUAAAUUUUGAAAAUUCUCAUUAAUCUCACAAAAAUUUUAAUUUUUUUAAAAAAAAUAUUAUUAAACCAUUAAAUUUUUAGAAAAUUUUACCUGCCCCCUCCCCCAAAAAAAAACCUAGUCCCAACCCCUAGGAUCCGCCAUUGGUACUUGGUAUUAACACUGUUAGAAAAUUGCUAAAUAAACCAAUGAAAAUUUGACACAUAGAACCCUUUUUUUAAUUAUCAAGUCCACGUGGAUAAAAUAAUAGUGAAAAACUAAAUAAAACAAUAAUUAAAUGAAAUAAAAAAACAAAUAACUAAACAUAUGGUUAAUAAAAAAAAGCCGUACUUUCAAAGAUAAUAAAAAAUAUUAUUUAAAAAUCAAUUGAAAAUAUUAUUUUAAAAGGAAAACUCUUUGGAGAAGAUGAUCAUUUGCUUAAAUGGAGAAUAUAAUAUUUUUGGUUAUGCAAGUUUAGUAUUUACUUCUUUUUUAUUAAUCAUAUGUUUAGUUUUUUUAAUUAAUUUAAUUGUUUUAUUUAGUUUUUCACAUAAUGUUAUUUUACACAUGCGGACUUGAUGAAUUAGAAAAAAAUAUUACGUGUUAAAUUUUCAUUGGUUGGUCUAAUAAUUCAUUAACGGUGGAUUUGUUCUACAUUGAUGACAAAGAUGUGGAGUUUAAAGAAGUAAGAACUUAUCAACAAUAUUCGAGGUUCUGUUGUAUGUUGCCUUAUUAAAGAAGUCUUCACUUAAAAUCUUCUAUGUUGCCUUAUGUAUGUAGGUUCUUGAGUCACCUUUGCCAAAAGCACCACAUGAUACAUCUGUUACAUCCCACUGGCUUGCGAUUUAAGGCAUUCAACCAGUAAUUCCAGAAAAUGCUUCAAUUGAAGGUACCGUCUUAGCUAACCUAAAUAUUCUCUCGAAGCUAUUUGUGUUGAAGACUCUCAUGGUUCAUGUUCUUUUCUGGUUUUAUCACUUUAAUCUAAUACGAGUUAUCUUCAUUUCUACAUGGAAUUGGUAUUUUGCUUUCCAUGCAGCACCUUCUGAUGGUAAAAAGGCUGAAUACAAAGAAGAUGGGCUUUCCGUUGAUGUCAAAUUAUUUGUUAAACAUGUAUUAUCUAGAGAGCUUCAAGUAUGUUGUACAUCUUCAGCAACAUUUUUAUGUUAAAAUACAUUUUGCACAGAAUGAUAUUAAAAGACUAAUUUGGUUGUCAUGCAGCUUUACUUUGACAAGAUCGUGGACAUUACCAUGAAUAAAUCAGUAUCAAUUCUCUUUAAACAAGCAUUACUGAGUUUGGCAACAGACUCGGGAUUACAUCCUUUAGUUCCUUAUUUUACAUAUUUCAUUGCGGAUGAGGUUGUCUUAAAGAUCUUUCAUACCUCAUUAUAUAUGUGUGUUGCAAAGAACUUUUGGUUGGUUAUCUCAAGCUUACAUUUUUGCCACAUUUAUCUCAGGUUGCACGGAAUUUGAAUAAAUUCCCUCUCAUGUUUGCUUUGAUGCGUGUUGCCCGGAGUCUUCUCGAGAAUGAACACUUACACAUAGAACCUUACGUGAGUUUAUUAUUUCAAUCAUUUAGAAGUACACGAACUAAUGCAAAUAUGCUAGUGGUUUAUUUUCCACCUAUCUGAUUUUUUAAAAUGUUCUUCAGUUACACCAGUUGAUGCCAUCUAUUAUUACCUGCCUUGUUGCAAAAAGGUUAGGAAAUAAAUUCACCGACAAUCAUUGGGAACUUAGAAACUUUGCAGCAAAGCUAGUGGCAUCAAUAUGCAAAAGGUGAAGAUUUCUUUUCUUUUGGACUUAUACAUGCAUAUUCGUUUUUAUGAAUUUCAGGUGUCGAGUUUUUAGUUAUAAACUUGGACCUAUUCUUCAAAUCAUGUGUAUAUCAUUUUUAUGCUAUUUCACACAUGCAAAACAAAUGGUGCAAGCAUGCAUGUUAUAUGCACAGAAUUGUUGAAAGCUGGACUGCAAUGCAACAUGGAGCCAGAAGCAUGCAACUGUCGAGACCAGCAGCUAUCAAGCUCAGCUCAUUUUGCUUGGAGCGCACGAAUGGUUUUUGGACCAAAUGAAGCAACUGACAUUGCUGUUUUGUUUUGAUGUAAUUUAGUUCAGUUUGAUUGUAACUAGCUUUAAUAGUUAGUAGGAUUAAGUUAGUGAUUAGAUAGCUGAUGUAAAAGCUGAUAUGGCAGCUCAUUUUGUAUUUGACUUUAACUUAUUUUGGUUGUAAAUUAGUGGAUGCAGUUAGAUUAGUAGGUAACUAUCAAAUGAACAAAUUGUAACUCCUUUUUAUUUCAAAAAAUUUUGGAUGAAACGUAAUAAUGUUCAGUUACAAUUCUGGCUGUACAUUCAAGUUUCUUGCUUGCUGCUCUGCUUGUUUUUCUUUUCUGCUUCGUUUACUCUUGCUUCUGCUUGCAAAUCUCUUUGUUGCUGCUGCCAUUGUUCCAACAAGAAUACAUAGAUUAAUUACGUGUGGAUCAUUAAGAAUGCCUAUGUAUUGGAAAUUGGCCAACCAUGCUGCUGUUACAUUUUGUGUUGAAGUGCAUGCAGCUUGAUGACAUGCUGCAGCACAUAUGCUUGCUGUAACAGCAAGGUUUCUCUUUAGUUUCAUCCUAAUUAAACUAGUUGAAAAUGAACAAGUUGAUGACAACUUGAUGCAUGAGGUGUUGAAUGAUUAGUUUAGGUGGCUUGUUUAUGUGUACAAGCAAUGUUUUAAUAGUCCCAAUGCUGAUUAGUGGGGUUAGUUGACUAUUUGGUGAUGUAUUUGACUAUAAAUGUAUGUUUUUUUUCGUUGAAUGAAUGAGCUGAAUAAGCUAUCAGCCAUAUGCUCCCUUGCUGCACAUUUGUGAGCAAGUAAAAAUACUUCUUGCAUCUUGCUUCAUUGUUCUGUGCUCUCUGUUCUCUUCUUUUGCUGCUGCCAAUGCUCCAACACUAUGUUUGACCAUUGUGUGUGGCUACUUUUUUUUUACAUGAUCCAAUUUUCGAUAUGAUAUGCUUUGCUUUUAGGUUGAAUGCGGAAAAGAUUAGAACUUAAUUUCCAGCAUAAUGAUUUGUCUUGGAUAUGCAGAUUUUUACAUGCAUUUCUUAAAAGUCAAUAUUUUAUAGAUUCGGGCAUGUUUAUCACAACCUUCAGCCACGUGUGACAAGGACACUGCUCCACGCUUUUUUGGACCCAACGAAAACAUUUCCCCAGCAUUACGGAGCAAUUCAAGGGUUAGCAUGUUAGAAAUCAAACCCACUCCAAGCAUAAUCUAGAAGCAUGAGACGUGGAGCAAUUUUGUGCCAUGCAAAGUGCUGAAAUUUUAGCCAUACAAAGUGCUCCAUUAUUGAGAUGUUUUGUGGCUGGAAAUUAAGUGGAUUAAUAGCCACAUUUGUUGUCACUUUAUCAGCCUAUAAAUAGAGGCUUGAACUUGUGUUGUAAAAAAGAAGAAAAAUGAGAAGAAAAAAGAAAUAAGAGAAGCAACGUGAGUGAGAGUGAGAAGGUUAGCAAACCUUGAGUGAGUUAAAAUCUAGCAGCAGCUAGACUAUCUAGUCAUUGAGAAAAUAUUUGUAAUCUUCGUAUUGUAAUAUAUUGAGUGUGUAAUAAAAAGUAAAUUUUCGGCCCAUCACGUUUCCAACAAGUGGCAUCAGAGCUACGGUUCGGAGCUUGGUUCGGAGUUCGGUUCGUGUCCGGUUCGUGUCCAGUUCGGAGUACCUUUGGUGUUCAUCUAACAAGUCGAUAUGGGCGACGUAAUUCAGCUACAAGUUCCACAAUUGACGAAGACAAAUUAUGGAAAUUGGAGCAUUCGAAUGAAGGCUUUGCUCGGUUCGCAAGAUUGUUGGGAGAUCGUUGAAAAAGGAUACAUCGAGCCCGGAGAUGCCGCUACAGAAGCAGCUUUAUCAAAUGACGCUAAGAAGGCGUUACGAGAAGCACGAAAGAAGGAUCAAAAGGCCUUGAAUAGUAUCUUUCAAGGUAUGGAUGAAUCAACCUUCGAGAAAAUAUCAGAUGUGAAGAACGCGAAGAAUGCAUGGGAGAUUUUGCAAAAAUCAUUUCAAGGUGUAGAAAAAGCUAAAAAGGUACGCCUUCAGUCACUUAGAGCUGAAUUUGAAAUGUUAAAAAUGAAGAGCUCCGAGAAUAUCGAUGACUAUGCCAAUCGUGUAAAAUCGGUGGUAAAUGAAAUGAAACGAAAUGGAGAAACUCUUGACGAGGUAAGAAUGAUGGAGAAAAUUCUACGGUCACUCACACGCAAAUUCGAGUACGUAGUCGUUGCCAUCGAAGAAUCAAAAGAUUUGUCAAAGAUGUCGCUCGAAGAACUUGUGGGUUCUCUGCAAGCCCAUGAGCAAAAGAUGAAGCUAAAUGAAGAUAGUGAAAAUCUUGAUCAAGCCUUGCAUAGCAAGUUGUCCGUCGACGACGGAGAAACAAGUAAUAACUUUAACCAAGGAAGAGGAAACCGCAGAGGAUACCGUGGAGGCUACCGUGGUGGAAACAGAGGAGGAAGAGGAUCACGAGGACGUGGAAAUCAAUCAUAUGGGAGAUAUCAAGAAAAUAAAGAUUAUCAAACAUCCAACCGUGGACGUGGAUCUAGAGGUCGUGGCCGAGGCAGAUUUCAAGAAAAUAAAUCUCAGGUACAAUGCUACAACUGUAACAAGUAUGGACAUUUCAGUUACGAGUGCAGAUCAACACACAAAGUGGAUGAAAGAAACCAUGUAGCAGUCAUAGCAGAAGGCAACGAAAAAGUGGAAUCAAGUGUCUUUCUCACUUACGGAGAAAAUGAAGAUCGCAAGAGAAGUGUGUGGUAUCUCGACAACGGUGCAAGCAACCACAUGUGUGGAAGAAAGGAGCUGUUCACAGAAUUAGAUGAAACAGUUCAUGGACAAAUAACUUUUGGAGACAACUCACAUGCAGAAAUCAAAGGAAAGGGCAAGGUUGUUAUAACACAAAGGAAUGGAGAGAAGAAGUACAUCUCAGACGUUUACUACGUACCAGCUUUGAAGAGCAACCUGAUCAGUCUUGGUCAACUCCUAGAAAAAGGAUAUGAAGUUCAUAUGAAAGACCGCUCACUCGCCAUCAGGAACAAAAGUGGAGAAUUAGUUGUUCGAGUUGAUAUGACGCGAAAUCGUCUUUUCACCCUCGACAUCGAGUCUGGAGAAGUAAAAUGCAUGAAGACGGAUCUGAAGAAUGAAUCAUGGUUGUGGCACUUAAGGUACGGACAUCUCGGAUUUUCUGGCUUGAAGCUGUUGUCGAAGACAAAUAUGGUGAAUGGAUUACCAAGUAUUAAUCAUCCAGAUCAACUGUGUGAAGCCUGUGUCAAAGGAAAGUAGCAUAGGCAGAAAUUUGAAGUAGGAAAAUCUCGAAGAGCUAGAAGACCAUUGGAAAUUGUACACACCGACAUAUCUGGUCCGUACGACAUUGAAUCACUCGGUGGAAACAGGUACUACCUAACUUUUAUUGAUGAUUAUAGCAGAAAAUGUUGGGUUUAUUUUCUCAAAGCAAAAUCGGAAGCCCUAGAAAAAUUCAAGGAGUUCAAAGCAAUGGUGGAAAAACAGAGUGGUCGAUAUUUGAAGAUACUCAGAUCCGAUAGAGGAGGCGAGUAUACUGCAAAGCUUUAUGAAAGUUUCUGCAAAGAUCAUGGAAUCAUUCAUCAGUUAACAGCCAGACGCACUCCACAACAAAACGGAGUUGCAGAAAGGAAGAAUCGGACAAUUCUGGAUAUGGCAAGAAGCAUGAUAAAAGGUAAACACCUUCCGAGAAAUUUCUGGGCUGAAGCCGUUGAAUGCGCAGUUUAUCUGUUGAAUCAAUGUCCAACAAAAAGUGUAAGACACAAGACACCAGAAGAAGCAUGGAGCGAUCACAAGCCAAGAGUUGGACACCUCAAAAUUUUUGGAUGCAUUGCAUAUGCACACGUUCCUGAGCAACAGAGGAAAAAGCUUGACGAUAGAGGAGAGAAGUGUAUCUUUAUAGGCUAUGACAAAAGAAGUAAGGCCUACAGACUUUAUAAUCCUCUUACUAAGAAAUUGAUUAUCUCAAGAGAUGUCGAGUUCGAUGAAGCGGAUUACUGGAGAUGGAGUGAAGAAGAAAAGAAAGUGGAAGGAUUAUUUUUCAACGAAGACGACAAUGAUGUCAUCAACCAAGAAGAACAAGGCGAUGAUCAAAGUCCUGGUACAACAGCCCCUUCGUCACCAACCAGCAGCAGCGGAAGCAGCAGCUCAGAUGAAGCACCCACAAGAACACGGAGUCUCAACGACAUCUACAAUUCUACGGAACCUGUAGAGACGCAGUUCGAUUAUUCACUAUUCUGUCUAAUGACAGAAUGUGAUCCAGUGACAUACGAAGAAGCAAUUGAAGACAAUAAAUGGAAGAAGGCCAUGGACGAGGAGAUUGCUGCAAUAAGAAGGAAUGACACGUGGGAGCUAACAAGUCUGCCAGAAGGACAUAGCCCGAUUGGUGUCAAGUGGGUGUACAAGACGAAGACCAACAAAGAAGGAAAAGUAGAGAAAUACAAGGCAAGACUAGUCGCCAAAGGCUACAAGCAAAGACAAGGAGUGGACUAUGAUGAAAUAUUUGCUCCAGUCGCAAGAAUAGACACAAUUAGGCUUCUCAUAGCGGUCGCAGCACAAUACAAAUGGAAAAUCUAUCAGAUGGACGUCAAGUCUGCAUUCCUGAAUGGCUACUUGGAGGAGGAAGUCUACAUAGAACAACCACCUGGAUAUAGCAUACAAGGAAAGGAGGACAAAGUCUACCGAUUAAAGAAAGCUUUGUAUGGAUUGAAGCAAGCCCCAAGAGCAUGGAACACAAGGAUCGACGAGUACUUCCGAAGAAAUGGAUUCAUCAAAAGCCCGCACGAGCACACCCUGUACACAAAGAAGAAUGGAUAUGGAGAUAUCAUGAUCGUAUGCCUAUAUGUGGAUGACAUGAUCUUCACCGGAAACAAUCCAGGUAUGUCUGAUGAUUUCAAGAAAGCUAUGACUAAAGAAUUUGAAAUGACAGAUAUCGGUGAGAUGUCAUACUUUCUUGGAGUCGAGGUGAAACAAAUGCAAGAUGGAAUUUUUGUCUCUCAAAAGAAGUAUGCGGAGCAGAUUUUGAACAAGUUCAAAAUGAAGGAUUGCAAGCCAGUAGUCACGCCAGCUGAUCCAGGGAUGAAGCUAAGUGUUGAUUCGACAAGGGAGUCGAUAAAUCCGACGUUGUUUAAAAGUCUCGUUGGAAGUUUAAGGUAUUUGACAAUCACACGACCAGAUAUUACAUAUGCAGUAGGAUUGGUGAGCAGAUUCAUGGAGAAGCCGAAGCAAGACCACUUAAUUGCCGCAAAAAGAAUUUUGAGAUAUAUCAAAGGUACGAUGAACCAUGGUUUAUUCUAUACCCACUCACAAGAUUCAAAAUUAGUUGGCUACUCAGAUAGCGAUUAUGGGGGAGACUUGGAUGAUCGGAAAAGCACUUCCGGAUAUGCAUUCCACAUCAAUUCCGCAGUUUUUUCAUGGUCGUCAAAGAAGCAACAAACAAUUGCUCUCUCAACAUGUGAAGCAGAGUAUAUGGCCGCAGCAACUUGUACAUGCCAAGCAAUGUGGUUGAAGAAUAUUUUGGGAGAAAUAGGUGUUUCAAAUGAAGGUCCAAUUACCAUCUACGUUGACAACAAAUCCGCUAUAUCACUUGCCAAGAAUCCGGUGUCGCACAGCCGAAGCAAGCACAUCGAUACGAAGUAUCAUUUUAUCCGAGAGCAAGUGAAAAACAAAAACGUGGAGUUGGUCCAUUGCAGGACAGAAGAUCAACUGGCAGAUAUUUUCACAAAGCCGUUGAAAGUGGAGACAUUCAACAAAUUCAAAGAGAAGCUCGGUAUGAAAGUUGGGUUUGAGGGGGAGUGUUAGAAAUCAAACCCACUCCAAGCAUAAUCUAGAAGCAUGAGACGUGGAGCAAUUUUGUGCCAUGCAAAGUGCUGAAAUUUUAGCCAUACAAAGUGCUCCAUUAUUGAGAUGUUUUGUGGCUGGAAAUUAAGUGGAUUAAUAGCCACAUUUGUUGUCACUUUAUCAGCCUAUAAAUAGAGGCUUGAACUUGUGUUGUAAAAAAGAAGAAAAAUGAGAAGAAAAAAGAAAUAAGAGAAGCAACGUGAGUGAGAGUGAGAAGGUUAGCAAACCUUGAGUGAGUUAAAAUCUAGCAGCAGCUAGACUAUCUAGUCAUUGAGAAAAUAUUUGUAAUCUUCGUAUUGUAAUAUAUUGAGUGUGUAAUAAAAAGUAAAUUUUCGGCCCAUCACGUUUCCAACAUAGCAUCCCUUGGACCCAGUGUGGUAUAAUUCUAAUCUCAAAUAUUUACUAGCAACACAAUAAGAUACUGGUUUGUGGGAUCAAUUGGUCAAAGAUAUUGCAAUGAUAGCCAUCUUUUUAAGUCCAUUUCUUUCAGAAAACUGUUUUGUCACUCUUUUCUGCAAGAUCCGAAGAAAGAAAGAACUUGGAAAUCUAUAGUCCAAAAGUGUAAAUAUGCGGUUUCUCUAUAGGUAUCUUUAUUAUGGCAUCUGUAAAGUUUGUCUUUCAUAUGUUUGAGUAACGCUUCUUCUUCCAUAUGUAGGUUCGUUUACUUAUACUACCAAAUCUUGAAGCGUAUUUGCAGCUUUUUGAACCUGAAAUAAAAAGACACGAGGCCUGGUGUGUUUAUGGGGCACUGCUGGUAAGUUUAACAUCAAAUUUGGUACCAGUUUAUGAGCAUCGUUUCAUUUAUUUGCUGUAGAACUAACAACACUGCAUAAAAUUUCCACUAACAGCGUGCAGCUGGACUGUGCAUGUAUGAUCGGCUUAAAAUGUUACCCAGUUUGCUAGCACCCUCAACUCGUCCCGUCUGGAAAAGCAACACCAAAGUUGCGACAAGUAUGAUUUCUUCGAACCAUCAUAUUUACACUUAAUCCACAAAUCUCUUCUCCCCCUUUACGAUAUUCCUUUUUCUGAUCAAUCAAGAUAAACGAAAAGCAAGCACGGACACCUUGAUGCAGCAGCAACCAACUGCCAAGAAAAUAGCAACUGAGAGUGCAAUAGGUAUGAUGCCGAUAAAUUCCAUGCAAACUGAUUUACAAGGGGCAGUUAGCGGCUUUUCUACCACCGUAGGAGGUUCCAGUAUCUGUGUAUCAUCAAUGUCACGGCCGUUAUCAAACGAUAACAUGCUUGGAAGGGAGGUUGGGGGUCGAGUUUCAAAGACAUCAACCGUUCUAGCUCAGGCUUGGAACCGGGGAACUUGUUAGCAUCAUUAUUUGAACUUUUUGGUGAAAGUAUGUUAUCAUUUACUCCCAAACCUGAGCUUUCAUUCUUCCUUUGAUUAAAUUUCACCUCCAAAAGCUAUGGUUUUUGAAGGAAUUUGUGUAAUUAAUCCCCAUAGUUUUUUUCAGUCUUACUGUGUUUAUCUUUAUAAGUCUUCUUUCUUUUUUUUCCUUGCUCAUAAAUGUAUUGUAGUUAUCAAAAAAUAUAUUCUACUUUGGAUUUUAUUUAUAUUAAAUUUUACGUUAAAUUCUGCUAUUAGUCUCUGUACUUUACGAAAAUGAUGGAUUUAGUCCUUAUACCUUAAUUUGAUCAAUUUUAGUCAUUGUAUUUUUUGAAUUGGUCAAUUUUAAACUAUCUACCUUUUAAAUUUUGAAAUUUUAGUCUUGACCCAAAUAAUAAUAAUAAUAAUAAUUAAAUCUGCUUAUUUAAAUUCAAUUAUUAGUUUUGUAUUAUGUAGACAGAUAUAGAUUUAAUCCAUAUUUUUCAAUUGGGUCAUUCCAAGUCUUUAUACUUUUCAAAUUUUGAAAUUUCAAUAUUGAUGCAGAACGAGAGUUGUUAUUAAUUAAUUGAUUAUUUAGCAAGUAUAUGUAGAAAUAACAAGUUGGCAUGUCAUUAUACUUAAAAAAAUAUAUUGGCUUAACCCACCUAAAUUAUGUCUUUUUUUCCAUCUUCGGACCUCAAUUUUUUUAGGGUCAUAAGUGGUACCUAAACUACUUUUUUUCUCCUUCAAAUUAGUAUCUUCAUUAGUUAAACCGUUAAGUCUAUUUAAAAAAGAAAGACUCGAACAACAAAUUAAUACCUAAAACAAUGCUCUUUUUCCCAAUGUAUCUAAUUUUUAUUUUGGCCAUAAGUACUACUAAAACUAUUCUUCCGUUACUCGUUUUACACAAAAUGUUAUAUCGGCUAAAAAGAUUGCAACAAAUAAUAGAUUGUAUGUCAUAUAAACUUUUAAAAAUAAUUAUUAAUUAAUUAUUUUUUAUAUUUUUCUUUCUUAUUCCUUUAUAAUGUUUGACAAUGCCGAUAAUGUUUGAAAUUGGCCCACUUGAGGUCGAAACGCUGGUGAUUAAUUUUGGUUUUGAAUUUCACCACCUAUUUCUCUGACCUGAGGGGAUAAAAAAUGUUCUUUCAUUGAUCAAAACUAGUGUUUUCAAAAACAGACUGAUUCAACCGGAAAUAGGGGUUGAAUCAUUGACUUGCGAGCAAAAACAAAUCAGUUGAACUAAGCUAAAAAAAACUAGUUGAACUAGUUCUCUCUAUUUAUAUAUAUAAAAAUAAUAAUAGUCUUUUUUUUAUUACAUGUCAAUUUUUAUUUGGUUAUUUUUUUUUCAUAUAAACUGAACGGUUUGACUAAUGACGGAGGUACCAAAUUAUAGUCUAGGUACCAAUUUAUGGGUUAAGCCUAUUUCUAAAAUAGACUUUUGACUAAUGGCGGUAGUAACUUGGGAAAAAAAAGUAGUUUAUGUACCACUUGUGACCAAAAAUAAGUUUAGGUACCAACAUCGUAAAAUGAGUAUAAUUUAGAUACCGAUUUAUGAGUUAAGCCUAAUAUAUUUGUCGCAUCAUUUUUUAAAAAUAACAGAACUUAAUAAAUUUAACGAUUAUUGUUUGAUGAUGACUAAAAUUUUAAAAUUUGAAAAGUACAUGAACUAAAAAUGACCAAAUUAAAGUAUAAAGAUUAAGUCCACAACUUUUGCAAAGUACAAGGACUAAUAGCAGAAAUUAACCUAAAUUUCAUAUGGGUCAAUUACAAAAAUAAUCACUAAGCUAUUCCUUUGGUUCUAUUCUAGUCAUUCAACUAUAGAGGUGCUCAUGAGUUGGGCCAGGUCAGGCCUAAGGAUGAUAUUAACGUACUUUAUACUUGCUCAAGCUUGGCUCGGCCCGAAAUAUGAGCUUAAAUUUUCACCUAAACUCAUCCAUAUUUGCAAAAGACUAACGCAAGCUCAUUUUAGGCAUGCUUAUAUAAUUUUUAGUUUUUGUUUAAAUAUUUAUAUUAUAUUAUUUUAAUAUUUAAUAAUUUAAACAUUUUUUAUUUAUUGAAAAUUUUUAUAUAGUCAUCUAAUUAACAUUAUUUUAAUGUUUACAUUAUAGUAUUAUUAUAUAUUUAAUAUAAGUUUAUUUUUUAAUCUGUUCUAAAUUUUAUAAUAUAAAGUAUUAUACACUUAAAAAUGGGCCGGGCUGGGCUCGAGCUUUGAAUGUUCAAGCCUGAACCCAGCCCAAAUUUUAAACGGGCCUAUUUUUUUUUUACCCAAACCUAAUUUUUGGGCCUAAUAUUUUUAUCCAGACCCUCCCAAAUUUUUGGACCUUGCCAAGUAGCCCAACUCAUUAACAAGUUUACUCAACUAUUAAUUUUUUCGAUUUAGUUGUUAACCUUUUCGAAAGUAAAUAUUUUAGUCACUCUCCUGUUAGUUGUUGCUAAAUGAGUGACGGAAAGCUAAUGUGGGUUUUUUUUAUUAGUCUAAUAACAAAUUUAGCCCUAAAUGUUAACAAAACUUGUCAUUUUAGUUCAAAUUCUAAAAAUUUUAAUAAAUUUAACCCUUAAUAUUUUCAAAAAUUAGCAAUUUAGUUCUAAUUCUAAAAAUUUUAAUAUAUAUUUAAAAAAAUAUUUUUAAUCCUCUGUCUCACCCUUUGAUUUUUUUAGAUGAGCUAAAAUCAAAACAUAUCGUUAUAUCUUUUUGUUUUAAUGCUAAAAGAGAUAAAAAAAAUGAAAAGCUAAAAUGACUUUUCGUUUGUAAAGUUAAAAAAUGCUAAAUAAAUCAUUAUGUCUUUUUAGUUUUAAUUUUUUACUUGAUUAAAAGAGAAAUAAUUAACGAAUAAAAAAUAAUUAUUCCCAAAUAAAUUUAUCAAAAUUUAUAAUAAAUGAGAUUUUGAAUUUAUCAAAAUAUAUAUAAGUAUACACAUUUUUAUGAAAUAUAAGAUUUUGCUAAAAGAAAAAGCAUACAAAAGUAUACACCUUUUUAUGAAACACAAGAUUUUGCUAAAAGAAAAAUAUAUGGUAAAAGGAAGACUAAGUGGUGGUUAAAAAAUACAAAAAAUUUUGAAAAUCUAAUAUCCAUAACUUUUCAAUGUAAAAGAAAAACAGACUGUAACACCAAUGUUGUGGUUUUAUUUGUUGCCUAUAAAUGCCAUUCCUAUCCUUCAUCUUCCUCUACCAACAUAACAUGGCCUCCUAUCUCUUUCUCUGCCUAUUCCUCUUCUUUCCCCAUCUUUAUGCUUCUUUUUCUUCUUCAGGAUCUCACUCCUGCUCUUCACUAACCCAGUUCAAGAAUUCUUUUUCCAUCACUCAGACAGAGGGUGCUUCUUUGUCUUGCAAUGAGAUUGCUGGCCUUAAAUCUUAUCCCAAGACAAAUUCAUGGAAGGAGGGUACAGAUUGCUGCUCAUGGGAUGGGGUCACUUGUGACCACCUAAAUGCUCAUGGUAUUGCCCUUGACUUGAGCUGCAGUUGGCUAUAUGGCAACUUCCCUCCCAAUACCACUCUCUUCCUUCUUCCUCACCUUCAAAAACUCAACCUUGCCUUCAAUGAUUUUAAUCUUUCCAAAAUUCCAUCCGAGUUCGGUGGGUUUACAAGCCUAUUCUACCUCAACCUUUCUCAUACAGGGUUUGCAGGACAAGUCCCAUCCCAAGUCUCCCACCUGUCAAAAUUGGUUUCACUUGAUAUCUCCUCUUCGAUUUAUGACUAUGAGAAAUUUACAAUUGACAAACAUGCUCUGGAGGGACUUGUUCACAACCUAUCCGAGGUCAGACAUCUGUUUUUGGAUGGAAUGGACAUGUCUUCUGUUAAUGCUCAUGUCUUCAUGAAUCUAUCCUCUUCUCUAAGGUCUCUCAGUCUUGCUUAUUGUGAUUUGCAAGGAAAAUUCCCAAAAAACAUUUUUGAUUUGCCAAACCUCAAUCUCCUCAACUUGGGAAGCAACCCAAUCCUCAGUCUUGAUCCUUUGAAGUUGAAUCGGAGCAGCAAUCUUGAACAUUUGGAUCUGUCGUCCAUGUCCUUCUCUACAGAAUUCAUUGAUUCAGUUGAUAAUCUACAGGCCUUAAAGUACUUAGAUCUAUCAGGACAUUUUUUCUCUCAACGAUUGUCUGUCUCAAAAACAAAAUCGGGGUACUUGUUUACUGGAGACGCAAAUUUUUUUGGAGGAUUGCCUGACUCGAUGGGGAAUCUUGUGUCUUUGAAGUUUUUAGAUCUCUCCUAUUCCAACUUAUCAGGAACGGUUCCAAGAUCACUGGGGAAUCUCUUGCAACUCACUCAUUUAGACUUGUCGGGGAACCAAUUUAGUGGACAAAUUCCAUCGUCAAUUCUAAACCUAACGCAGUUGGAAUACUUGAAAAUAUCUGAAAAUUCAUUAGAAGGUUCCAUUCCAGAUGAGGUAACCGCUUUUCCUAAUUUAAUAUAUUUAUACUUAGAUAACAAUUUACUUAAUGGAAUACUUCCGUCAUGGUUGUAUACUGCUCCCCCCUUAAAGAGAAUAGAUCUCUCUAAAAAUCAAUUCAGUGGACAUAUCAAAGAAUUCCAAUCCAAAUCACUAGAAUUGAUAUGGUUAGAGAAUAAUAAACUCCAAGGUCCUCUUCCAUCUUCAAUAUUCCAACUUCUCAAUCUUACCGGACUCAAGUUAUCCUCAAAUAAUCUUAGUGGUGUCAUAGAGUUUAGCAUGUUCUCAAACCUUCCAAAUCUCGAAUAUCUUGACCUUUCAUAUAACAGCCUAUCCUUAACAUCUAAUACUACUUCUACUGUUAAUCUUACAAGCUUAUUUUUGUCAUCUUGCAAUCUUAGUGAAUUCCCCCAAUUUUUGAAAGGGCUUAAAAGUUUGGAAAGCUUAGACCUCUCUUGCAACAAAAUUGAAGGCAAGAUUCCACAGUGGAUGCAAGAGGUGGGGAAUGGCUCUUUGACUUACUUAAAUGUAUCUCACAACUCUUUGACAGAAGUUGAGCACUUUCCAUGGAAUAAUAUUGCAGUUCUUGACUUAAGCUCCAAUUUGAUCCGUGGAAAUCUUCCGAUUCCAGCUUCGACCAUAAGAGUCUUUUUGAUCUCAAAUAAUAGUUUCAAUGGAGAGGUCUCUUCUUUAAUAUGCAAUGCCACUUAUCUUCAAAUUCUUGAUUUGUCCCACAAUUACUUGAGUGGAUCAAUUCCGCAAUGUUUUGGAAAUUUGAGCUACUGGCUUGAAUUCUUGAAUCUGAAGAAGAAGUUUUAUGGGACGAUUCCUCCAGCAUUCGCAAAGGGAUGCCAAUUGAGUAAUUUCAACUUAAAUGGAAAUCUGUUAGAAGGGCCUUUGACACCAUCCAUCCUUAAUUGUAGAGGUCUGGAAGUGCUAGAUCUUGGUAACAACAAGAUCAAUGAUACAUUUCCUCAUUGGUUGGGCAGUCUUCCAUUUUUGCAAGUUCUUGUAUUGAAGGCUAUCAUAAAUCUAGAGAAGAUUGGGAGUACAAUGUCGUACAUGGGGGUGAAUUGUCCUGGAAGUGGCUUCUAUACCUAUUCCAUUGGAAUUGUUAUGAAAGGACAAGAUAUGGACUUGGUGAAAAUUUUCACCAUGUGGAUGAUCAUUGAUCUAUCAAACAAUCAGUUUGAAGGGGGUAUUCCAGAGGUUUUUGGGAAGCUUAACUUACUGAAAGGGCUCAACCUUUCUCAUAAUAACCUUAAUGGUGGUAUCCCCACCUCAAUAGGGAAUUUGACAAGUCUUGAAUGGUUGGACCUAUCUUCAAACAGGUUGUCUGGGACGAUUCCAAAUAGAUUGGCAGAUCUGCCAUUUCUUUCGUCCUUCAAUGUUUCUGAAAAUAAACUCCAUGGUCAGAUUCCUCAAGGCAAACAGUUAAACACAUUUGGAAAUGAUUCAUAUGAAGGAAACAAGGGAAAAUAAACUCCAUGGUCAGAUUCCUCAAGGCAAACAGUUCAACACAUUUGGAAAUGAUUCAUAUGAAGGAAACAAGGGAUUAUGUGGAUUUCCGGUCUCAAAAGGUUGCAACAUCAUUGAGCCACCACCUCCAAAUGUGCUUGAAAAAGAUGGCUCAAAAUCAAACAUUACUUUUGGUUGGAAAGUGGUGUUGAUAGGUUAUGGAUGCGGAGUGGUGUUCGGAAUGUCCGUGGGAUAUGUUGUUUUCCAAACUGGUAAGCCGAAAUGGUUGGUGAAUUUGUUGAAAUCCAACAUGAGAAGAAGCGAAGAAGAAAGUCAAAGGAUGGCAGUCGCAGAAAUGGACGAAGAAGGAUCUAGUUAGUGGAAAUGAUGUUCAAGUGUUGAUGUUGUAUCUUCAUAAUUUCUUGUUUUGAAGUCUUUCAAUUUUUUUCCUAUGGUGAAAGGUUGCAUUGGCAUGCAUCUGUCUUUGUUAUUGUGACAAUUCAUCUAUAUUUCAUUGCAUUACAUAGUAUUUGUAAGGGUUUGUUUUAAAUGUAACAUUUUGUAUGGUUCAACUAUUUAUGUCUUCUUUCAUGACUUUCAUUUUUGAGUCUCAAUAAUCUCUGCAUUCAAGAUUUUGUCAGCUUAUUAAUUGGUAAAAAUUAUAUGAAUAAACUUUUAUAAAUAUAAAUAUGAAUAAACUUUUAUAAAUAUAAAGUGUAAUUUAUGAGUCGAGUUAUUCAAUAAGAAAAAAAAACCCUCAUUUCAAUGUUCAAUAUAUAUGAAAUUCUACAAAAUUAAUUUCUUCUAAUAUUUUUACUUUUUGUGAUUAAGUUUAAAAUACUUUUCAAUUACUAAAUCUUAGUCCGAGCCAACCUAUUGGCUCGACUAACUAUUUAGAAAAUAUAAUAUGUUUAUAUUAAAAAUUUUAUAUUUAAAUAAAAAUUCAAGACGAGUUGUCUAGAAUUUGUGAAAAUGCUGUCCACGACCUAGCACAUAUUGGACAAUCCUAUUGAACUAGGUAGGUAGUGUGAGCUUGCCUUGAAAGUGCUAAUAAAUCCAAUUGAGUCAAGACUUAAGACUUCUUAUUCAACUUUAGACCCAAAUUGGGUAAUCAUAUUAGACGGAUAGUUUGAUACUUAAAUAUAUCUAAUCACAAUAUAUAUAAUUAAAUGAGCAAACAUAAAACCUUGGUUCUAAAACUCCAUGCUUCCUCUUUUGUUAACUUUAUGUUUAACUCUUCGGCCAACUUUUUCAAAUGUUGUAAGGUUCCCACUGUCAGUAUUAUACCAUUUUGAUCUCCACUAUUACAUUAUAAUCAUAUUAAAAAAAUAAAAAAAAUAGAAAAAAAUCAGUCAAAUGGCAUGAUAAUUUCUUUUCAAAAUUGUUCACUUUGAUUCUUCAUACAUAUUUAACUUAUUUCAAGAAAGUAUUGGAAAAAAUUAUGGCAUACAAAUAUAAUACUAACCUGAAUAUUGUAAUGGGAAUGGCUUGUUGAAGAAGGUUUUUAAGUGCAGGGAGCAUGUCAAGGUCCUUAUCAGCUUCGUUGUAUUUAAAAUUAGUUCUAAAAAAAUAAGAGUGAAAUAUAAUGAAAAUUUUAAGGCUAGCAAUUUUUACACGACAUUCACCUCAAUAAACAAGUAAUUUAUUUUAUUUUCUUAAGAAAUAGGUGACAAUAUAGAAAGAGAAAAAUUGACCGCGAGUUUUAAAACUUGAAUUUAAAAUAAUUUCUAAAAAGUAUUUAUAUGAAUAUAUUGGAAAAAAAGUUCAUCUUGUCUCAAAUUUUAGGGGAAAACUUACGUGAAAUAACCCUUCCAUCUAUAUGACAAGUUGGUUCGAAUCCCAUGGAAAGCUUUUUGAACUUCUGAAAGAAUAAAGUAAAAUUGCACUCUUAAUGGAAGACACAUGUCUACUUCUGUGCUAACUAUAAGAACCAAUACUAAAAAAUAAAGUUUUACGCUUUUGAUAUAACCAAUAAAAGAAAAAUAACACAAAAUCAAUUUUACUCAAUUGAUCAGUUAAUUCAAUUCUAUAGGAACUUAUGUUAUAUGUAGUUUCGAGUUGAAGUAAAAUAAGAGGAAUGUAAAGAACUAAAUGAAAACAUGUUUUCCCAAGUCCAAAUCUAGCUCAUUUUCAGCAUUAGGAGGGCGAAAGACAACAAAUAGCUUUUGUCAGGAGUAAUUAUGAGCAUUGGUCUUGAAAGUAGCCAAACCGGCCUCGAACUCAAGGUUUUUGCAUUUUGCGCUUCAAGUGGUUGCAGCAUCAAUGAGACACGACCUCCAAAUGUGCUGGAAAAGGAUGGCUCAAAAGCAAACAUUGCUUUUGGUUGGAAAGUGGUGUUGGUAGGUUAUGGAUGCCGGGUAGUGUUUGGAAUGGCCAUGGGAUGUGUUGUUUUCCAAACUGGUAAGGCAAAAAGGUUCGUGAAUUUGGUUGAAGACCAACAUGAGAAGAGGCGAAGAAGAAAGCCAAAAUAUAGCAAUAUCGCAUCAAUGGAUGAAGAAGGAUCUAGUUGGUUCAAAUGAAGUUAAAGCAUUUGUGCUGUGUCUGCAUAAUUUCUUGUUUAGUAGUCUGUCAGAAAGUUUUUCCUAUGGUGAAAAGUUGCAUUGGUAUGUGUCUGUUUUUAUGAUUGUACCAAUUCCUCUGUAUUUCAUUGCAUUUCGUACUAUUUGUAAGGAUUUAGUUCUAGUGUAACAUCUUGUAUGGUGCAACUAUGUAUGUCUUCUUUCUUGAAUUUCAAUUUUUAGUAAACAUUAUACUGCUCAACAUAAAAAAAAUACAUGUAGAAUUACAAAAGAUUCAAUUAUUCAAGUUCGAGUUGCAUUUAUAAACACGUGACGAUGAGAAUUCAUGAUGUGUUAUAAGCAAGAAGACUUUGUAAUCUCAUGAAUGUUAAUUAUUUUACUUCUUUGGUAAAAAAAAGUAAUCAAUCUUAUGAAUGAAAAAUAUAGGGUAAAGAGGAAGUAGUUGUUAACCUUUUCGAUUUAGUUGUUAACCUUUUCGAAAGUAAAUAUUUUAGUCACUCUCUUGUUAGUUGUUGUUAAAUGAGUGACCAAAAGCUGAUGUGGGCUUUUUUUAUUAGUCUAAUAACAAAUUUAGGCCUCCAAUGUUUACACAUUCUAUCAAUUUGAUCCUAGAUAUAAAAAAAAUCAACAAAUUUAGCCCUGAAUGUUAACAAAACUUGUGAUUUUAGUUCAAAUUCUAAAAAAUUUAAUAAAUUUAACCCUUAAUAUUUUCAAAAAUUAGCAAUUUAGUUCUAAUUCUAAAAAUUUUAAUAUAUAUAUAUUUUAAAAAAUAUUUUUAAUCCUCUGUCUCACCCUUUGAUUUUUUAGAUGAGCAAAAAUCAAAAUAUAUCAUUAUGUCUUUUUGUUUUAAAGCUAAAAGAGAUAAAAAAAAUGAAAAGCUAAAAUGACUUUUCGUUUGUAAAGUUAAAAAAUGCUAAAUAAAUCAUUAUGUCUUUUUAAUUUUAAUUUUUUACUUGAUUAAAAGAGAAAUAAUUAACGAAAGAAAAAUAAUUAUUCCCAAAUAAAUUUAUCAGGUUUUAGAUUUAAAUUAUGAGGCUAUAUAUAUAUAUAAGUAUACACAUUUUUAUGAAAUACAAGAUUUUGCUAAAAGAAAAAGCAUCCAAUUUUAAGAAUGAAAAAUAUAAAUCCUUUCAUUUUGAAUUGCAACUUUAUCCUGCCUAAAUUCCUCAACCAUGAACCACCCAUCAGGGCAGCCUCAAAAUGAACUUCCUUGGUCCGCCGGAUUCUGCGAUUGUUGCUCUGACCUGAAAACUUGUAACCCUUUCUUCUUUCUUCAAAAUCAGUUGUGUCAUUUUAAAUAUAUGAAUUAGUUUAUCAAUUAAAUAUAUGGACAUUUCAGGUUGCAUUUCAUACUGUUGCCCAUGCAUCACCUUUGGCCAGAUUGCUGAGAUUGUUGAUAAAGGGUCGACUUGUAAGUUAUUAAUUUCUAAAUUGAAAUCUUAUCAUCUUAGGUUUGCAGACAUAUAUAUAUUUAAAGAGAUAUUAUGUAAUUAAUAAUAAUGUUGAAAAACACUGUUGGAUGGUGCAGCAUGUGGGGCAAGUGGGGCAGUAUACACAUUAAUAAUGUUCAUCACCGGGUGUGGGUGCUUAUAUUCUUGCUGCUACCGAUCCAAACUGAGAAAGCAGUAUAACUUGAAAGGAGGCCAUUGUGGCGAUUGCAUGCGUCAUUUCUGCUGCGAGCCUUGUGCUUUGACACAAGAGUAUCGUGAGCUCCAGAACCGUGGAUUCGACAUGUCUAUCGGUAUGUCUACAUACCAAUAUUAUACCCCUUUUAAUUAUUCUUAAUAUAACUUCAAGUAUAUUAAUUGAGUAGCUGUAAACAAAUAUCUCCGAAUAAAUAUGUUAGUAAUGAUGAGAUAAAUUAUUGUUUGAGGUCAUUAAUUUUGUGGGGGUAUAUUUAUAUAUGCAGGUUGGCAUGCAAAUGUGGGAAGAACCCAGGGCUGGCAAUGGCUCCAGCGGUAGAAAAAGGCAUGAGCAAAUAGAUGAUGAUGAUGAUCGCUGCAUUAAUAUCGUCUUUAUAUGUAACACUUAAUUCCUUUGCUUUCCAUAAUUGGUGCCAAUUGGAUUUCAAGUUAUGUAUGUUUGUGAUUGUCAAAAUGUGACUCUGUUAAAUAGUAAAUAGCAUUUUUUAAAAGGGUUCAUAUAUAUCGUGAUACCUAAAGUUGGCAACUUCUACUUUGUAUCAAAAUCGGUACAUAAACUUGAAAAUUGUAAGUCAACUUGGUAUCGGUACAUAAACUUGAAAAUUGUAAGUCAACUUGGUAUUUUUAUAAGUAUGAUGAUGUUGGUGUAGUGUGAGGAAGAAGACUUGAAUGGGUUUGAUUAUUUUUAAUAAUACAGGAAUUUACGUAUUAUAAGUAAAUAGACACUCACAUUCUUUACGUAUUAUAAGGAAGAAGACUAAGUCAAUCUACUUUGUAAUCUCAUCAAUCUUAAUUUUCUCAAUUGUUCAGGGAGUUCAAAUGAAAUACAAAAUUUUGGUAAAAAAAUGUAUCCAAUUUUGUGAAUGAAAAAUAUAUGGUAAAAAAGAUUUGGUAUCAAUACUUCGGCGCGGGUAUCAAUACUCGAUACAUUGCUUUUGGUUGGAAAGUAGUGUUUGGAAUGGCCAUGGGAUGUGUUGUUUUCCAAACCGGUAAGGCGAAAAGGUUUGUGAAUUUGGUUGAAGACCAACAUGAGAAGAGGCGAAGAAGAAAACCAAAAUAUAGCAAUCGCAUCAAUGGAUGAAGAAGGAUCUAGUUGGUGCAAAUGAAGUUAAAGCCUUUCUGCUGUGUCUUCAUAAUUUCUUGUUUAGUAGUCUGUCAGAAAGUUUUUCCUAUGGUGAAAAGUUGCAUUGGUAUGUGUCUGUCUUUAUGAUUGUACCAAUUCCUCUGUAUUUCAUUGCAUUUUGUACUAUUUGUAAGGGUUUAGUUCGAGUGUAACAUCUUGUAUGGUGCAACUAUGUAUGUCUUCUUUCUUGAAUUUCAAUUUUUAGUAAACAUUAUACUGCUCACCAUAAAAAAAGAUACAUGAAGAAUUACAAAAUAUUCAAUUAUUCAAGUUCGAGUUGCAUUUAUAAACACGUGAUGAUGAUGAGAAUUCAUGAACAUAAGGUAUGGUUUGAGCCCUUUUGCCAUAUGCAUUUAUGUUGCAGGCGUUCAAACAUGGAAUAAUUCAACCUGCCUUUGUGUAUUCUUAAUUUUGUGCCAAACCUAUAUAUCUAUCGACAAAUUUAAGAAAAAUAUUUACAAUAGCAUUGCAGAGUAACAUAUUUAAGAUUGGAUUACACUGUCAAAAGAUUGCAGCAACGAUGAGAUUAAUCCAAUUACAGGAAUUGAUAUCCUAAAUGGCUUUUAGGUACGUAGCUUCAUUGACGGUACAAACGAGUUAAAAAUUCCAGCAUUCAUGUCUUUGUUUUCCCUCAAGUAAACGUAGUCAAUACUGCAAAUGGUGUGGAAGUAUUGUACAUUGUGGCCCAAAUGUCCAAAAUUUCCACAUUGCUUGUAAGUUAAGUUUGGAUGAGAGAGAUAGGAGGAAGCAACAGCAAGUGUGAAGUCAAUAGACAAUUGAUAGUCUUAGUGUUUGUCUUUUUUUGUCGAGUUAAAGUGUAGUCAAUAGACAAUUGAUAGUCUUAGCCCUUUUUGUGGAGUUAAAUUUAUAGUCAAUAGACAAUUCGAGUGGAACAUCUUGUAUGGUGCAACUAUGUAUGUCUUCUUUCUUGAAUUUCAAUUUUAGUAAACAUUAUACUGCUCACCAUAAAAAAAAUACAUGUAGAAUUACAAAAGAUUCAAUUAUUCAAGCUGUUUGAGUUGCAUUUAUAAACACGUGACGAUGAGAAUUCAUGAACAUAAGGUAUGGUUUGAGCCCUUUUGCCAUAUGCAUUUAUGUUGCAGAUGUUCAAACAUGGAAUAAUUCAACCUGCCAUAAGCAAGUGUGAAGUCAAUAGACAAUUGAUAGUCUUAGUCUUUGUCUUUUUUUGUCUGAGUUAAAGUGUAGUCAAUAGACAAUUGAUAGUCUUAGCCCUUUUUGUGGAGUUAAAUUUAUAGUCAAUAGACAAUUGGGACCAAACUUGACCUGUUAUAAGGAAGAAGACUUUGUAAUCUCACCAAUGUUAAUUAUUUUACUUCUUUGGUAAAAAAAAGUAAUUAAUUUUAUGAAUGAAAAAUAUACGGUAAAGAGGAAGUAGUUGUUGAUCACUAAUAACAUGAUGAUUGUGGAAAUACAAAAAAUCCCAUAUAUGUGUUGAAUUCUGCAUAAUGUAAAUGUCCCGCAUUGCAUGUGAAUUCUGCAAUAGACCAAACUUUAUGUGUUAUAGUCCUUUAAACUGAGUUAAUGAAAAGUAACCAUUCUUAUCAAAAUUAGUUAUACUCUUAAUUUAUAACAAAGAAAGGAGUAAUUUGAGUUUAACUCAAAGGUUAAUAUGUCAUCAAUGGGCGAUGGCGUGGUGCUACCAUGUCAGCCAUUAUUUUCUUCUUUGAGUUAAGGUGAUUUCACCAAUUUAAGUUUACUUUUUUACUUCAAUUUAGGUUUAUGCUUAUUACCUUCGAAGAUUCUAAGUGGGUGCCACAACCAAAGGGUGAGUAAAAAGGGUUAAAAAUAAUUUUUUUAAAAAUAUUUUUAUUUUUAUUAAAAAUUUAGAAUUAGAAUUAGAUAAAUUUUGUAAAUGUUAAGGGCUAACUUUAUUAAUUUUUUUUUCAUAAUUCGAACUAAAAUGACAAAUUUUGUAAAAAGCGCUAAAUUAGUUGAAUUUUUUAUAUUUAGGAUUAAAUUGAUAGAAUGUGUAAAUAUUAGAGGUUAAAAUUGUUAUUAGAUCAAUAAAAAACCCAUAUCAGCUUUCCGUCACUCAUCUAUCUACAACUAAAGGGAGAGCGAUUAAAAAAUUAGAAUGUUUGGAUCAUUUUUCUAAUUAAAGUCAUAGUGUAGGAGGCAAUUAAAUGCAUGCGCCACUCACGGUGGACGGUUUUGACAGCUGAUGACGUUGACAGUGCUCUUAAUCUGAGAAACGUGGAGGUACAUUUUCAAGUUUCAAAAAUUUUCUGUUUAUUGUAUUUUUUUAUUAUUCUUUUUCCUUUUUAGUUGAAAAUAGUGCUAAUUAAUGUUAUUUGUUUGACUAAUGUGAUAAUUUCUACUUCAUGUGUAUUAAUCCAUAAAUUUUAACAAGAGUGGAAUUUUGAGAACUUAGUUUUGGAAGUUUGAAUCUUAAGUUUAACCUGCUGCUUUAGAUUUUGCAUUUUGGUUAACUGGCUUGUGUUAUGUGUUUCUCUGGCAUCAGCCGAUAUGUGGAUUUGCCCCUCGUGAUGCACUACGAUUCAAGAAAGCUGCUGGGCAUAAGGAUUUGUUCUACAUUGAUGACAAAGAUGUGGAGUUUAAAGAAGUAGGAACUUAUCAACAAUAUUCGAGAUUCUGUUAUAUGUUGCCUUAUGUAUGUAGGUUCUUGAGUCACCUUUGCCAAGAGCACCACGUGAAUUUAUAUAAGUAUACACAUUUUUAUGAAAUACAAGAUCUUGCUAAAAGAAAAAGCAUAUAAAAGUAUAAACGUUUUUAUGAAAUACAAGAUUUUGCUAAAAGAAAAAGCAUCCAAUUUUAAGAAUGAAAAAUAUAUGGUAAAAGCAUCCAUAACUUUUCAAUGUAAAAGACAAAAAAGACUGUAACACCAAUGUUGUGGUAUUAUUUGUUGCCUAUAAAUACCAUUCCUAUCCUUCUUCUUCCUCUACAAACAUAACAUGGCCCCCUAUCUCUUUCUCUGCCUAUUCCUCUUCUUUCCCCAUCUUUAUGCUUCUUUUUCUUCUUCAGGAUCUCACUCCUGCUCUUCACUAAUCCAAUUUAAGGACUCUUUUUCCAUCACAGAGGAUGCUUCCUGGUAUUGCGAUGAGAUUGCUGGCCUUAAAUCUCAUCCCAAGACAGAUUCAUGGAAGGAGGGUACAGAUUGCUGCUCAUGGGAUGGGGUCACUUGUGACCACCUAAAUGCUCAUGUUAUUGCCCUUGACUUGAGCUGCAGUUGGCUAUCUGGCAACUUCCCUUCCAAUACCACUCUCUUCCUUCUUCCUCACCUUCAAAAACUCAACCUUGCCUACAAUCAUUUCAAUCAUUCCAAAAUUCCAUCCGAGUUCGGUCGGGUUUACAAGCCUAUUCUACCUCAACCUUUCUAAUACAUGGUUUGCAGGAGAAGUCCCAUCCCAAGUCUCGCACCUGUCAAAAUUGGUUUCACUUGAUCUCUCCUCUGAGUUUGGUGAACAAACAAUUGACAAACAUGCUCUGGAGGGACUUGUUCACAACCUAACCGAGGUCAGACAUCUGUUUUUGGAUGGAAUGGACAUGUCUUCUGUUAAUGCUCAUGUCUUCAUGAAUCUAUCCUCUUCUCUAAGGUCUCUCAGUCUUGCUUAUUGUGAUUUGCAAGGAAAAUUCCCAAAAAACAUUUUUGAUUUGCCAAACCUCAAUCUCCUCAACUUGAGAGGCAACCAAAACCUCAAUCUUGAUCCUUUGAAGUUCAAUCGGAGCAGCAAUCUUGAACAUUUGGAUCUGUCGUGGAUGUCCUCCUCUACAGAAUCCAUUGAUUCAGUUGAUAAUCUACAGGCCUUAAAGUACUUAGCUCUAUCAGGAAAUUCUUUCUUUCAACGAUUGUCUGUCUCAAUCACAAAAUUAUCUUAUUUGGAGUACUUGACACUUGAAGGCGCAAAUUUUUUUGGAGGAUUGCCUGACUCGAUGGGGAAUCUCGUGUCCUUGAAGUGUUUAGACUUGAGAUCAAACAAAUUGAGUGGACAAAUUCCAUUGUCAAUUCUAAACCUAACGCAGUUGGAAUACUUGGAUAUAUCUGAAAAUUCAUUAGAAGGUUCCAUUCCAGAUGAGGUAACCGCUUUUCCUAAUCUAAAACAUUUAGACUUAUCUGACAAUUUACUCAAUGGAACACUUCCGUCAUGGUUGUGUACUGUUCCCUCCUUAAAGAUAAUAUUUCUCUUUCAAAAUCAAUUCAGUGGGCAUAUCAAAGAAUUCCAAUCCAAAUCACUAGAAUUGAUAGUGUUACAGAAUAAUAAACUCCAAGGUCCUCUUCCAUCUUCAAUAUUCCAACUUCUCAAUCUUACAUCGCUUGCUUUAUCCUCAAAUAAUCUUAGUGGUGUCAUAGAGUUUAGCAUGUUCUCAAACCUUCCAAAUCUCGAAUAUCUUGACCUUUCAUAUAACAGCCUAUCCUUAACAUCUAAUACUACUUCUACUGUUAAUCAUAUAUUGCCUAAUCUUACAGACGUACUUUUGUCAUCUUGCAAUCUUAGUGAAUUCCCCCAAUUUUUGAAAGGGCUUAAAAGUUUGGAAAGGUUAGACCUCUCUUGCAACAAAAUUGAAGGCAAGAUUCCACAGUGGAUGCAAGAGGUGGGGAAUGUCUCUUUGACUUACUUCAACGUAUCUCACAACUCUUUGACAGAAGUUGAGCACUUUCCAUGGAAGAAUAUUGCAUUUCUUGACUUAAGCUCCAAUUUGGUCAGUGGAAAUCUUCCGAUUCCAGCUUCGACGAUCAGAGUCUUUCUGAUCUCAAAUAAUAGUUUCAAUGGAGAGGUCUCUUCUUUAAUAUGCAAUGCCAGUUCUCUUCAAAUUCUUGAUUUGUCCCACAAUAACUUGAGUGGAACAAUUCCGCAAUGUUUCGGAAAUUUGAGCGACAGCCUUGAAUUCUUGAAUCUGAAGAAGAACAAGUUUUAUGGGACGAUUCCUCCAACAUUUGCAGAGGGAUGCCAGUUGACUAAUUUCAACUUAAAUGGAAAUCUGUUAGAAGGGCCUUUGACACCAUCCAUCCUUAAUUGUAGAGGUCUGGAAGUGCUAGAUCUUGGUAACAACAAGAUCAAUGAUACAUUUCCUCAUUGGUUGGGAAAUCUUCCAUAUUUGCAAGUUCUUGUAUUGAAGUCAAAUCAUAUGCAUGGUUCUUUGCGUGUCAAUAGCUCCAAGUCUAGCCCCUUUUUCUCUAAAAUCCAAAUUUUUGACCUCUCAAGUAAUUAUUUUUCUGGACCCCUACCUGUGAGGUACAUCAACAGCUUCAAGGCUAUCAGAAAUCUAGAGAAGAUUCGUAGUACAGUGUCGUACAUGGGGGUGAAUGGUCGGAAUGGUAGUGGCUUCUAUACCUAUUCCAUUGGAAUUGUUAUGAAAGGACAAGAUAUGGAAUUGGUGAAAAUUUUCACCAUGUGGAUGAUCAUUGAUCUAUCAAACAAUCAGUUUGAAGGGGGUAUUCCAGAGGUUUUUGGAAAGCUUAACUUACUGAAAGGGCUCAACCUUUCUCAUAAUAACCUUAGUGGUGGUAUCCCCACCUCAAUAGGGAAUUUGACAAGUCUUGAAUGGUUGGACCUAUCUUCAAACAGGUUGUCUGGGACGAUUCCAAAUAGAUUGGCAGAUCUGGCAUUUCUUUCGUCCUUCAAUGUUUCUGAAAAUCAACUCCAUGGUCAGAUUCCUCAAGGAAAACAAUUCAACACAUUUGGAAAUGAUUCAUAUCAAGGGAAUAAGGGACUAUGUGGGUUUCCAGUCUCGAAAGGUUGCAACAUCAUUGAGCCAGCACCUCCAAAUGUGCUUGAAAAAGAUGGCUCAAAAUCAAACAUUACUUUUGGUUGGAAAGUGGUGUUGAUAGGUUAUGGAUGCGGAGUGGUGUUCGGAAUGUCCGUGGGAUAUGUUGUUUUCCAAACUGGUAAGCCGAAAUGGUUGGUGAAUUUGGUUGAAAUCCAACAUGAGAAGAUGCGAAGAAGAAAGUCAAAGGAUGGCAGUCGCAGCAAUGGACGAAGAAGGAUCUAGUUAGUGGAAAUGGUGUUCAAGUGUUGAUGUUGUAUCUUCAUAAUUUCUUGUUUUGAAGUCUUUCAAUUUUUUUCCUAUGGUGAAAGGUUGCAUUGCCAUGCAUCUGUCUUUAUUAUUGUAACAAUUCAUCUAUAUUUCAUUGCAUUACGUCCUAUAACAUUUUGUAUGGUUCAACCAUUUAUAUCUUCUUUCAUGACUUCCAUUUUUGAGUCUCAAUAAUCUCUGCAUUCAAGAUUUUGUCAGCUUAUUAAUUGGUGGAUCAAUAAUCUUCAUGCUCAUCUCAUCAUCUUUUUCUCGAGUUUCUUCUGUGUGGAAAAUAAUUUGACAUUCUGCAAAUUUCCACAAUGCUUGUGGAUUACCUUUGGUUAACAGCUAUACAUAUAAAGGAAGAAAACAAGACCAUGUCCAAAUUUCCAAAAAUUAGCCAUUGAUUUUUGAACAGUUAAACUUUCGUAUUCUAUUUUUUAAAAUUGUAAAUUCUCAAAUAAUGUAAAUUAGUCCUAAAACUCAAGUUUUGAAAUCUUUACAAUUUAACCCCUUAUAGUUUCAAACUUUACUGUUUUAUACUCAACUUUCUAAAUUUUCAUAUUUCAUGAUCAUAUAAUUUAGUUACUACAUCAAUAUUUGAGAUUUCACUACUCAAACCCUUACUUCAUUUCGGUCGUUACUUCAAUUUUAUCAAAUUACAUCAUUUUUCAAUUUGAAUGCAUUGAUGUGAAAUUGAGGGACCACUAAACAAUGUUGAUGAGAGUUUAGGCAAAAUUGGUGGAUCCGAUCUCCUUAGUAAUUUCUUUGUGGAAGUACCUACUUUCACAAUGCAAACUUGGAUAGUUUGUGGUGGACGAUGAUGAAUCAUUUCACAGUCAAACACAUAAUUUUUAAACACAAAAUUAACGAUAUAUUGAAAUCAUUAUUGAAAUUAUAAUCAAAAUUAAUACAUGUUCUUUUUAUUAGCUUAAGGGCGUAAAAACCCUUCAAAAUUUUCAAAAAAAAAAAAAAUUUAAGUCCUUUUUUUCUACUCAAUUGAGCACUUAAACUUUUAAAAUGUAUCAAAAAUAUCUUUACACUUCUUCAAAAAAAGCAAUUAAACCCCUUUUUUUUUUCCGCUCAAUUGGGUACUUGAACUUUCAUAAUGCAUAAAAAAAACCUUAAAUUUUUUUUUCAAAGAAACAAUUAAGCCUCUAUUUUUUUCCCACUCAAUUGGGUACUUGAACUUUCAUAAUGCAUCAAAAAGGCCUUUAUUUUUUUUCAAAAAAGCAAUUAAGCCCCUACUCUUAUUAAAAAUUAGAAAAAAUCAUAAAAAUAAUAAAGUUCAAGUACCCAAUUGAGUGCCAAAAAAUAAAGUAGGGGCCUAAUUGCUUUUUUUUGAAAAUGUUUGAGGGUCUUUUUGAUGUAUUUUGAAAGUUCAAGUACCCAAAUGAGUGCAUAAAAAGAACAGGGGUUUAGUUGCUAUUUUUGAAAAAGUUUGCACCCUUAAACCUCUUUUCUUUUUCUUUUUCAUAUGUGGCCUUGUUUGCUACAACUUAGUUGCUAAGUUAAAGGGAGUGAAUAGAGCACCAUUUUCUUCUUCUGCGUGGAAAAUUAAGUUGGCAUUAUGCCAAUUUCCACAUUCAUACAUACAAAGGAAGCAAGAGCAAGUCAAUAUACUUUGUAAUCUCAUCAAUUCUAAUUUUUAAAGUGUUGUUUACUACACACUUAGGGACCAUAUAUGUAUAUAUAUACAUUGCAGUCUGGGUCUUUGUCGUGUUUUGUUGGUUGGCUAUGGCCUUCUUGUUGUUUCCACUGUCUGCGGUGUUUGUUUCUAAGUCAUAUGUGGCCCUGUUUGCUACAACUUAGUUGCUAAGUUAAAGGGAGUGAAUAGAGCACCAUUUUCUUCUUCUGCGUGGAAAAUAAGUUGGCAUUAUGCCAAAUUCCACAUUCAUACAUAUAAAGGAAGCAAGACCAAGUCAAUAUACUUUCUAAUCUCAUCACUUCUUCUUUCUUUAGGGAGUUCAAGUGAAAUACAAAUUUUUUCACAUCCAAUCUCAUAAAUAAUCCGUCUUUGAACUUUCACCAAAAAAAUAUUAAAUACCCAUUCACUUCAAUUCUACUAUUCUUAAAUCAUUAAAGUUUUGUGGAAAAUAUGCUUCUUGGAUAAAAUUAUUCAACACACAUGCCUUGAAUUUUAUGCAAAUAAAAUAAAUGAAUAUAGGCCACACAUGCUUUGAAUUUUUAAGUAGUCCAUAAUUUUGUUCGUUUGUGUGCAAAAUUCUACAUUGCUUGACAGCCAUACAUACUAAGUAAAUAGACACCCACAUUGUUUACAUAUUAUGAGGAAGAAGACCAAGUCAAUCUACUUUGUAAUCUCAUCAAUCUUAAUUUUUUCAGUUGUUUAGGGAGUUCAAAUGAAAUACAAAAUUUUGAAAAAAAAAUGUAUCCAAUUUUGUGAAUGAAAAAUUUAUGGUAAAAAGGAUUUGGUAUGGAUACUUCAGCCCGGGUAGCAAUACUCAGGGUAAGUUUAUCAAUACAUUGCUUUUGGUUGGAAAGUGGUGUUGAUAGGUUAUGGAUGCGGGGUAGUGUUUGGAAUGGCCAAAAUAUAGCAAUCGCAUCAGUGGAUGAAGAAGGAUCUAGUUGGUGCAAAUGAAGUUAAAGCAUUUCUGCCGUCUCUUCAUAAUUUCUUGUUUGGUAGUCUGUCAGAAAGUUUUUCCUAUGGUGAAAAGUUUGAGUUGCAUUUAUAAAAUUUCCACUGUCAAAAGAUUCGAUUGCACUGCAGGGUAACAUAUUUAAGAUUGGAUUACACUGUCAAAAGAUUGCAGCAACGAUGAGAUUAAUCCAAUUACAGGAAUUGGUAUCCUAAAUGGCUUUUUGGUACGUAGCUUCAUUGACGGUACAAACUAGUUAAAAUUUCCAGCAUUCAUGUGUUUGUUUUCCCUCAAGUAAACGUAGUCAAUACUGCAAAUGGUGUGGAAGUACUGUACAUUGUGGCCCAAAUGUCCAAAAUUUCCACAUUGCAUGUAAAUUAAGUUUGCGUGAGAGAGAUAGGAGGAAGCAACAGCAAGUGUGAAGUCAAUAGACAACUGAUAGUCUUAGUCUUUUUUUGUCGAGUUAAAGUGUAGUCAAUAGACAAUUGAUAGUCUUAGCCCUUUUUGUGGAGUUAAAAGUAUAGUCAAUAAACAAUUGAUAGUUAAAUUUGUAGCAUUCUUCUUCCUCUUUAUUCUUUUGUGUGGAAAAUUAUUUGGGACCAAACUUGACGUGUUAUAAGGAAGAAGACUUUGUAAUCUCAUGAAUGUUAAUUAUUUUACUUCUUUGGUAAAAAAAGUAACCAAUUUUAUGAAUGAAAAAUAUUAUGUGGUAAAAAGGAAGUAGUUGUUCAUCACUAACAAUAUGAUGAUUGUGGAAAUACAAAAAAUCCCAUAUAUGUGUUGAAUUCUGCAUAAUAUAAAUGUCCUGCAUUGCAUGUGAAUUCUGCAAUAGACCAAACUUUACGUGUUAUAGUCCUUUAAACUGAGUUAAUGAAAAGUAACCAUUCUUAUCAAAUUUAGUUAUACUCUUAAUUUAUAACAAAGGAAAGAGUAAUUUGAGUUUAACUCAAAGGUUAAUAUGUCAUCAAUGGGUGAUGGCGUGGCGCUACCAUGUCAGCGAUUAUUUUCUUCUUUGAAUUAAGGUGAUUUCACCAAUUUUAGUUUACUUUUUUACUUCAAUUUAGGUUUAUGCUUAUUAGCUUCAAAGAUUCUAAGUGGGUGCCACAAUCAAAGGGUGAGUAAAAAGGGUUAAAAAUGAUUUUUUUAAAAUUUUUUAUUUUUAUUAAAAAUUUAGAAUUAGAAUUAGACAAAUUUUGUAAAAGUUAAGGGCUAACUUUAUUGAUUUUUUUUUUCAGAAUUCGAACUAAAAUUACAUUUUGUAAAAAGAGCUAAAUUUGUUGAGUUUUUUAUAUUUAGGAUCAAAUUGAUAGAAUGUGUAAAUAUUAGAGGUUAAAUUUGUUAUUAGAUCAAUAAAAAAAACCCACAUUAGCUUUGCGUCACUCAUCUAACGACAACUAAAGGGAGAGUUAUUAAAAUAUUUAAUUUCAAAAAGUUUAGCAACUAAAUUGGAAAAUUUAAUAGUUGGGUGACUAUUUUUGCAGUUUACUACUUUUUUGGUCACCUGACUAUUAAGUGACACUUUUUAGUUGGUAUAAUAAUAAUUUUAGUCCUCAAUUUUUAUACUUUCUGUCAAUUUGACUCUGAUUAUAUAAAAUGAUUACAAAAGUGAAAUUCUUUUUAAAAUUUACAAAAUUCUAAAAAUUAAAAAUUAAAUGAAAGUAGAUAAAAAUUUCAAAUAUAAACAAAGUGAGAGAAAAUGAGGGAAAUAUUAUUUUUAAACCCUCCAACUUUUCUUUGUAUUAUCGUAAAGAAAUAUCUAAUAUCCAUUCUUUUAGAAAACAUAGAAAAAAGUAAAAAAAAAAAGAUUCAGUAAAAUUAUCUGUAUAUAAUCUGCUUUUAUAAUUUGGGUUUUUAAAAAUAAAUUUAAAUGAAUUGAAAAUUCGAAUUGAGUUUGAAAAAUAAAAUUUUGUGGUAUAUUUUAUAUUUUUGCUAGAAAAAUGGCAUCAAAGUUGAUUUUGUAAGCUUUUGUAAUAUCAGUUACGGAUGUUCUUCAAGGGCAUGGAACUCAACUUGAAAAUUUUACUAAUUUGGUUGCAAAAAACAUUGAGGAAGCAUAUAAUGAUCUAACCUUUUUUGUUUUGUUUUGUUUUUAAUUUGUUAUGGGAUUCUAUUGAAUGAUAAUUUUUUUUUUAUUUCCCAUACAUAUUAGUUCUUCAAAAACAACAUAUUCGAGAUUUUAUUUUUCUAGAAUUUUUAUAUAGAAGUUUAUAUUUUUUAAAUAAAUUUGAGUUUUUUUUAGAAUUUUUAUAUAGAAUCGAGGUAAAUUGGAAAAAAAAAUUAUAAAAACAAAAUACUAAAAUUGUUAUUAUAGCAACUAAAAAGUGUCAUUUAACAAUAGGGUGACCAAAUUGUAACUUUUUUAGUUAAGUGACCAAAACGAAGAUUUACCCAUAGUUUAGUGGCUAAUUAUGUAGUUUACCCUUUCAUAAUUAAAAAAUAGUUGUUAAGUUUUUCUUGUAUUAGAUAACAAUUUAGAUGGUAAAAACCCUCUUUAGUCCCUCUCAAUUUUGAUAUUAAGUAAAAUUGUCCAUUUAAAAAAAAAAUCAAAGCAAUUUAAUAUUUGUUAAUUUCGAAAGUGAGCAACUAAGGACAAUUAAUCACAAUGUCAAUAUUUUCCAUCAAUUGUACAUAUUUUUAUUGGUGUAAUAACAAAUUUAGCUCUCAAAGUUUACACAUUCUGUCAAUUUAGUCUUGAUUUAACAAAUUUAACCCGCAACAAUUACAUAUUCUAUUAACAUUGACACAUAAUAUAUAAACAUUGAGAGCUUAAUUUGUUAUUGUAUCAAUAAAAAUUAUGUACAAUUUACAGAAAGCAUUAACACAAUGAUUAAUUGUCCUUAGUUGCUCCCUUUCAAAAUUGAUCAUGAUUAAAUUGCUCUAAUUUUCUGAGAGGAACCAAUUUGUUCAAUAUAGAAAUUGAGAGGGACGAGAAAUGUGUUUUUUUAUCCAUUUUAGAUACCAACAAGUGUUUGGCAUAGUCGCAAGACAUAUUACAUUCUCAAGGAGAGAAUGCGUAGUCAAACGUUGGAGAUAUCAAUGUUGUGUGGGGUAUCCAAGGAUCUCGAACACGAACUGUAAAACAUAUAUAAAGAAUAAAAAAAUAACAUCUUAAUUUAAAUAAUUAUAAAUUUUAAUUUGAAAAAAGUAUUUUGAGAAACAUAAGUUUUAGAAGUAGUAAAAUUGAAUCGAUAAAACAUGUCCAUUAUAUCAGAAUCAUAAAAAUACAACUUAAUUAAUUUGAAUUUAAACUUAACUCAACUCGACUUGAUUAUAAAAACUGAUAAUUUGAAUUCAAAAUGACAUGAUCUUGAAAUGAUUUGAAUUAAUUGUCAGACCCGAACGACAAAACUCGAAAUGAUGCAAUCCAAAAACACAAAUCAAGUGAACUAAACUACGAAAAAAAAAAACCUUACACUGACUCAAAUCCAAAAUAGUUUAAUCCUAAAAUAACCUAAAUUUUAUAUAAUAAAAACUCGAAAUAACCCGAAAAUUUUUAAAUUAAAAUUGAUCCGACCCAAAUUCACACCACCUAAAAUCAAUCGUAACCACCUAAUUAAAAAGCAUGAAAUGAAAUGAUGUAAAGAGAAAAUCAGAGAAAACCAAAUAGAAAGUAACAAGCCUUUUUCAGAAUUGAAAGCAAAUUCCGUACAUUCACGACAUGCAUAAAACAACAAUGGUUUAUAGAAUUUAAAAAUUUUAGUUUAAUCAUUUAUGUUGGUUGUAGUUUCCGUUAGCUUAAUCAACAUGUUAAAUUACUAAAUUUUGACAAAAAAUACUUACGAGUUUAAUGAUUGUACCGAGAUUUUUAAAUAAAAAAGUCGGAAGACUAAUUUCUAACCUUUUAAAUAUAGGGACUAAAAGCAUCUUUUAACUUUGAUAUUAUUAUUAUAAGCAGGGAUAAUGUCACCUUUGGCAUCUGUACUUUCAUAAAAUGUCUAGUGGUACAAGUACUUUGAAAAUAUAUAAUGUGGUACCUGAACUAUCAAUAGGUGUUAUUAUUAUGGUACAUGUACUUUGAAAAUGUUUAAUGUGGUACCUAAACUAUCAAUAUAUAUUUUAUUAUGAUACUUGAUAAAGACGGACUAUGGUGGCUUAGGGGGCUCUUUGUCCCGCCACCCUUGCAAAAAAAAAAUCGAAGAAUUUUGUUUUUUCCUUUAAAAUUUUUAGAAAAUUUCAAUUAGGCCCUCAAAAUUUUUGAAAAUUUUCAUUAUACCUUUUAAUUUUUUUGAAAAUUUUAAUUAAGCACUCUUAAAUUUUGAAAAUUCUCAUUAAUCUCACAAAAAUUUUAAAAUUUUUUAUUAGACCCCCCAAUUUUUUUUAAAAAAAAUCUUAUUAAACCAUUAAAUUUUUAGCAAAUUUUACCUGCCCCCUCCCCCCCCAAAAAAACCUAGUCCCAACUACUAGUAUCCGCCAUUGUUACUUGGUAUUAACACUGUUAGAAAAUUGCUAAAUCAACCAAUAAAAAUUUGACACAUAGAACCCUUUUUUAAUUAUCAAGUCCACGUGGAUAAUAUAAUAGUGAAAAACUAAAUAAAAAAUAAUUAAAUCUGCUUAUUUACGAAAAUGAUGGAUUUAGUCCUUAUACCUUAAUUUGAUCAAUUUUAGUCAUUGUAUUUUUUGAAUUGGUCAAUUUUAAACUAUUUACUUUUGAAGUUUGAAAUUUUAGUCUUGAUCCAAAUAAUAAUAAUAAUUAAAUCUGCUUAUUUAAAUUCAAUUAUUAGUUUUGUAUUAUGUAGAUAGUUAUAAAUUUAGGGUGGGGUUUGGAUGGGCUGUGCUUUUACCUGCAGUUAGUGUAAAAAUAGCGGCGGUGGUGAGAUUAGAUAUCCAAGGUACCUAAUUUUUAUUUUGGCCAUAAGUACUACUAAAACUAUUCUUCCGUUACCCAUUUUAUACCAAAAUGUUAUAUCGGCUAAAAAGAUUCCAACAAAUAAUAGAUUGUAUGUCAUAUAAACUUUUUUAAAAAAUCAUUAAUUAAUUAAUUUUUAUAUUUUUCUUUCUUAUUCCUUUAUAAUGUUUGACAAUGUCGAUAAUGCUUGAAAUUGGCCCACUUGAGGUCGAAACGCUGGUGAUUAAUUUUGGUUUUGAAUUUCACCACCUACUUCUCUGACCAGAGGGGAUAGAAAAAGUUCUUUCAUCGAUCAAAACUAGUAUUUUCAAAAACAGACUGAUUCUACGGGUUGGAUAGGAAAUCGGUUUGGAAAUAGGGGUUGAAUCGAUUGACUUGCGAACAAAAAACAAAUCGGUUGAACUAAGCUAAAAAAACUGGUUGAAUAAGUUCUCUCUUUUUAUAUAUAUAUAAAUAAUAAUAGACUUUGUUUUUACUACAUGUCAAUUUUUAAUUGGUUAAUUUUUUUUUCAUAUAAAUUGAACAAUUUGACUAAUGACGGAGGUACCAAAUUAUAGUCUAGGUACCAAUUUAUGGGUUAAGCCUAUUUAUAAAAUAGACUUUUGACAGUUUGACUAAUGGCGGUAGUAACUUGGGAAAAAAAAAGUAGUUUAUGUACCACUUGUGACAAAAAAUAAGAUUAGGUACCAACAUGGGAAAAUGAGUAUAAUUUAGAUACCGAUUUAUGAGUUAAGCCUAAUAUAUUUGUCGCAUAAUUUUUUGAAAAUAACAGAACUUAAUAAAUUUAACGGUUAUUGUUUGGUGAUUACUAAAAUUUUAAAAUUUGAAAAGUACAUGAACUAAAAAUGACCAAAUUAAAAUAUAAAUAUUAAGUCCACAACUUUUGCAAAGUACAAGGACUAAUUGCAGAAAUUAACCUAAAUUUCAUAUGGGUCAAUUACAAAAAUAAUCACUAAACUAUCCCUUUGGUUCUAUUCUAGCCACUCAACUAUAUAGGUGCUCAUGAGCUUGGCCAGGUCAGGCCUAAGUAAGGGUGAGCAUUCGAUUGAAUCGAAAAUUUUCGAGUUAAUCGAGUUUUCGAAUCUCAUUUUAUCAUCCUAACUUUAUUUGAAGUUUUCUCGAAUCGAGUCGAGUGAGAUGGAAUUCGAAUCGAAUCGAAUCGAAUCGAAUAUAUUUGUUCGAGUUAAAUUUUAAAAAAUAAUUUUGGGUCCUUGUAACCAUUGUCACCCAUCGUAAUAAAAUUUGUCACCUUAAUCAAAUUUUUUAUUAACUUUCAUCACUUCAUAAUUUAUUUAUUAAUUUUUUAUAUACUGGUUAGCUUCUUUGCUUGCUUAGUUGUCUUCAGAUUCUUGUCACUAUGUAUUUUAGAAUUAAAAAAUAUAUUAAAUGUAAAAAUAUGAUUUUUUUAAUAAAAGUUAUUUAAAAAUAAAAUGUGAAAUUGAUACCAAUAUAACAUUUCAACACGAAUAUUUUAAGGCAUAAUUAAUAAUUCAAUUUUAAUAUAAAUAUUCAAUAUGACUAAACAAUUCAAUAAUAUAAAUAAUAUAAAAUGUGAAAUUUAAUUUAAUAAUAUAAAUAGUAGAUAUAAAUAAAAUUAUUGCUAUUUAUGUUUAGUGAUUUUUUUGGAUAAUUUUGAUUUUUUAUUUGAGAAUAAAAGGUGAGAAGUAAAAGUUUAGGGGAAAAAUAAAAAGUUUUGGGGAAUAAAAGUUUGAGAGAAAGUAAAUAGGGGGAGUAAAAUUUUGGAGGGAAAAUAUUUAAAAAAAAUUGGAGGGGGGAGGGUUUGGGAUAGAUGGGAGGGGAAUAAAAGUUUUAGGGGAAAAGUGGGAGGGAGUAAAAAUUUGGGAGAAAAUAAAAGGUUUUGAGGGUUUUGGGGGUAAAAUAUUGAGAAAAAAUAAAUAGGAGAGUAAAAUUUUGGUGGGAAAUGGAUUUUGGGUAGAUUGGGGGGUUGGGGGGGAGGGUAAAAGUUUUGGGGGAAAGUGGGUAAAAGUUUUGAGGGGUAAAGUUUGGGAGUUUGGGGUUGUAUAUUAGUUUGAUCUUCGAAUUAUUCGAAUUAUUCGAGUUAUUCGAAUUCGAAACUCAACUCGAUUCGAACUCGAAAUUCGAAAAAUUCGAGUUGAUUCGAAUAACUCGAUUCGUUUCUCGAAAUUUGAAUUUUUUUCAAUUUUUUCGAGUCGAAUCGAGUUUUGCUCACCCCUAGUUGCAAGUGCAACUUGCGUGGUGGCUGCCAGAAGGACUGAAUCGUAAAUGUAGCAAAAGUUUUGGGGCAAAAAUGUAAUUUUGAGAAAGUUUAGGGUCAAAAUAUAAUUUUAAAAAUAUUAAGGGUUAAAAUAUAAUUUUAUAAAAAUUUAAGGGUCAAAAUGAAAUUUUAGAAAAGUUCAGAGUCAAAAUACAAUUUUUAAAUUUUUUUUUAAAAAAUUAUUCCCACAAAAUUAAGUGAUUACACGUAACUUUUCAAUGUAAAAGAAAAAAAGACUGUAACACCAUGUUGUGGUGUUAUUUGUUGCCUAUAAAUACCAUUCCUAUUCUUCAUCUUCCUCUGCAAACAUAACAUGGCCCCCUAUCUCUUUCUCUGCCUAUUCCUCUUCUUUCCCCGUCUUUAUGCUUCUUUUUCUUCUUCAGGAAUAUCAGUGCCUGCUCUUCAUUAUCCAGUUUUAAGGGACUCUUUUUCCAUAACAGAGGAUGCUUCUUCUGAUUGCAAUGAGAUGCUGGCCUUAAAUCUUAUCCCAAGACAAAUUCAUGGAAGGAGGGUACAGAUUGCUGCUCAUGGGAUGGGUCACUUGUGACCACCUAAAUGCUCAUGUUAUUGCCCUUGACUUGAGCUGCAGUUGGCUAUAUGGCAACUUCCCUUCCCAAUACCACUCUCUUCCUUCUUCCCUCACCUUCAAAAAACUCACCUGGCCUACAAUGAUUUUAAUCUUUCCAAAAUUCCAUCCGAGUUCGGUCGGUUUACAAGCCUAUUCUACCCUCAACCUUUCCCAUACAGAGUUUGAAGGAGAAGUCCCAUCCCAGUCUCCCACCUGUCAAAAUUGGUUUCACUUGAUCUCUUCCUCUCGGAUUGAUUACUCUGGGCAAGUUAACAAUUGACAAACAUGGCUCUGGAGGGACUUGUUUCACAACCUAACCGAGGUCAGACAUCUGUUUUUGGAUGGAAUGGACAUGUCUUCUGUUAAUGCUCAUGUCUUCAUGAAUCUAUCCUCUUCUCUAAGGUCUCUCAGUCUUGCUUAUUGUGAUUUGCAAGGAAAAUUCCUAAAAAACAUUAUUGAUUUGCCAAACCUCAAUCUCCUCAACUUGGGACGUAACCAAAACCUCAAUCUUGAUCCUUUGAAGUUCAAUCGGAGCAGCAAUCUCGAACAUUUGGAUCUGUCGUGGAUGUCCUUCUCUACAGAAUCCGUUAAUUCAGUUGAUAAUCUACAGGCCUUAAAGUACUUAGAUCUAUCAGGAAAUUCUUUCUUUCAAGGAUUGUCUGUCUCAAUCACAAAUUUAUCAUCUUUGGAGCAAUUGAUAAUUUCAGGCGCAAAUUUUUUUGGAGGAUUGCCUGACUCGAUGGGGAAUCUUGUGUCCUUGAAGUUUUUAGUUCUUCUCCGAUUCCAACUUUUCAGGACCGCUUCCAAGAUCACUGGGAAACCUCUUUCAACUCAAGUGUUUAGACUUGAGAUCAAACAAAUUGAGUGGACAAAUUCCAUUGUCAAUUCUAAACCUAACGCAGUUGGAAUACUUGGAAAUAUCUGAAAAUUCUUUAGAAGGUUCCAUUCCAGAUGAGGUAACCGC